This 62940-nucleotide long non-coding RNA is filed under the name Citrus maxima (pomelo). Its description in RNAcentral is "long non-coding RNA (CMAX_LNC001425)". The stretch from base 44450 to 44556 matches the Rfam family "Plant small nucleolar RNA R71". Lineage: Eukaryota; Viridiplantae; Streptophyta; Magnoliopsida; Sapindales; Rutaceae. The record is from RNAcentral.
CAUUGAUCUUCCAAAACUCAAAAGAUUCUGCAACUUCACUGGGAAUAUAAUUGAACUGCCUAUGUUGUGGAGUCUGACUAUUGAGAAUUGCCCUGAUAUGGAAACAUUCAUAUCCAACUCUGUAGUGCACGUGACAACAGAUAACAAGGAACCUCAAAAAUUAACAUCAGAAGAGAACUUCUUGCUGGCUCAUCAAGUACAACCUCUCUUCGAUGAAAAGGUGAUUAUUAUUGUUAUUAUUAAUUUUUCCCUUCACUUUCGUUCGCAUAGAUGUAAUUUCAUUAGAAUCAAAUCAAAUUUAAUGACUCAUCCUUUUGCAUGUCGUCUUAAUUUAUAUCUAAUUUAACAAUAUAACCGCAGUUAUUAACUAACUUUAUAGUAUGAAUUAUAAAAAUGUCUCAAAUUAAUUAGAUGCCUAGUGACAGGAGGUGAUGAACUAUAUCGAUGCGUGUUACAUCUCUGUUUUCCUAGCUAAUUCAUAUUGGAUUUAGCAUCAGAUUUCAUUUAUGUGUUUCAAAGGGUAAUCGAUUUGAUACUUAUAUUUGGGAUCCUACUGCAAAGCAUACUAAUUUGGAAAUAAAAUAUAAAAUGCUGUGAUUAAUCUUGUCCAUAAAAUAUGCAGGGGAAGACUGCAGAGAUUGGAUACAUAUUUUAAUUUACAACUUAAUUUUGUUGAUUUUCAGGUUGCAUUCCCUAAAUUGAGAUGGUUAGAGCUGUCUAGAUUACCCAAUGUGUUGCAUCUCUGGAAGGAAAAUGCCGAAUCCAACAAAGUGUUUGCAAACUUGAAAAGUCUAGAAAUAUUUUAAUGUAGUAAGUUGCAGAAAUUAGUACCAGCUUCGUGGCAUUUGGAAAAUCUUGCGACUCUGGAAGUAUCGAAGUGUCAUGGGUUGAUAAAUUUAUUGACGCUCUCAACAUCUGAAAGUCUAGUGAAUCUUGAAAGAAUGAAGAUAACUGAUUGCAAAAUGAUGGAAGAAAUUAUACAGUCGCAGGUUGGAGAAGAAGCGGAAGAUUGCAUUGUUUUCAGGAAAUUGGAGUACUUGGGACUUGAUUGUUUGCCAAGCCUAACAAGCUUUUGUUUGGGUAAUUACGCUCUUGAGUUCCCGUCCUUGGAACAAGUAGUUGUGAGACAGUGUCCAAAAAUGAAGAUCUUCUCUCAAGGAGUCUUAGACACACCAAUGCUAAACAAAGUGAACGUCACCGAAGAAGAAAAAGAUGAUGAUGAAGGAUGUUGGGAAGGCAACCUCAAUGACACCAUAAAAAAAUUGUUCAAUGAAAUGGUGAGUAUCAAUUAAGUUUCGGUGCUAUUUAGCAAAUUAUUUUAUAGAAACUAAUGUGAUAUAAUAUGAUUGGUUGACUGAAAAUAUAUAAUAAUAAUAAUAAAUAAAUAAAUAAAUUAUGAGGGCCAUGUAAUGUCAAAAGCAGCCAUCCAUCUAGAUGGUCAACAUUCAAAGAAGAGAAAUUUUGCAGCAAGUUGGAAAGGAAAAGGAGCACACGGGCUUGGCAUUUAAAAGAAGAAGUUGGCAACUACUUUGAAAUAUAUACAUAUAUAUAUUAAUUUAAUAGCCAUUUUUUGGCUAUAAAAUGAAGAGCUUCCUCAUUCAUUUUCAUUCAAUUCCAUCGAGAGAAAUCUUUCUUUCUUUGAGUGUUGAGAGUUUUCAAGAGUUUAAUAAACUCUUGAGUGUCUAGUGAGUGAGAGAUUGGGUGUAUUGGGGUUUUGGGUAGUGAGCUAAAAUCUUACAAUACUUGUAAUCCUUAUUUCACUAGUAAAAUAUUUUCUUCUGUCUUCGCCCGUGGAUGUAGGCUAAAAGCCGAACCACGUAAUUUUUCGGUGUCCUCUAUUGUGCUUGUUCUUUAUUUUAUUUUCAAUUUUAUUUUAGCUGCGGUCCUGCUGCACCCACUAAAUUACUAACAGUGGUAUCAGAGCCAUUGGUUGUAUUUUUGGAGUCGGGAAUUGUUCACGUAUUCACGUAUACGGCGUACGGCACUAUUCACGUAUACGGUGUACGGCACUAUUCACGUAUACGGCAUACGGCACUAUUCACGUAUACGGCGUACGACACUAUUCACGUAUACGGUACUAUUCACGUGAAAACGGUGGAAGCGAUCCAAGAAUUUUGCGGUGCAAAGCAGGGAAUAGUGGUGUGAGUAAAGCAACUGUGUGGUUCUGUACAUGUCUAGGAAAGUUUUGUCACAAAGGCGAUAAGAGCCUAAGGAGUCUGGGUUUUAAGUGGGACCAUUGUGACCCCUCCAGUCUUUCCUGGGAACUUUCCUGGUGCGCAUUCUCACACAUACUCACAACUAUUCAAGGUGGUACACUAGCUUGUGUGCAGUAUUAUCAACAAAAUGGCGGCAAAGUAUGAAAUUGAGAAGUUUAACGGAAAUAAUUUUUCGUUGUGGAAAAUGAAGAUGAAAGCUGUAUUGAGGAAAAAUAAUUGUUUGGCAGCAAUUGGAGAAGGGCCUAUGGAGAUAACUGAUGACAAGUGGAACGAGGUAGACGGCAACGCUAUUUCUGAUCUACACUUGGCACUUGCGGAUGGAGUAUUAUCCAGUGUGGCAGAGAAAAAUACGGCGAAGGAAAUUUGGGAUACUCUCACAAAAUUGUACGAGGCCAAGUCACUACACAACAAAAUCUUCUUGAAGAGAAAACUCUAUACUCUUCGAAUGGCGGAAUCUACAAUGGUGACCGACCACAUCAACACAUUGAAGACUCUAUUUUCACAACUCACAACGUUGGGUCAUAAUAUAGAGGAAAAUGAACGUGCAGAGCUUCUACUUCAAAGUCUACCAGAUUCGUAUGAUCAACUCAUCAUCAACCUGACGAACAACAAUCCAGUGGAGGGUCUAGUUUUCGACGAUGUUGCAGCCUCCGUAUUAAAUGAGGAGAGCAGGCGGAAAAAUAAGGAAAACAGACAAGCAAGUUCGCAGCAAGCAGAAGCGCUAUCGGUGAUGAGAGGGAGAUCAACGAAACGUGGCCCCAGUGGGAGUCAAAAUCAGGGUAGAUCAAAAUCCAGAAGUAAGAAGAAUGUUAAAUGCUAUAAAUGUGGCAAGAAAGGGCACGUCAAGAAAGAAUGUUGGAGUAACCAGAAGAGAAAAGAGGGCAAAGAACCUGAGUCAUCAAAUGCUCAGGGUUGUGUAGCAAGUACCUCGGAUGAUGGCGAAAUUCUUUACAGCGAGGCAACAACUAUUUUAGAAGGCAGGAAACGACUUUCUGAUGUCUGGCUUAUAGACUCAGGAGCUACCUGGCACAUGACCUCUAGGAGAGAAUGGUUCCACACAUAUGAACCUAUCUCAGGAGGAUCUGUAUAUAUGGGAGAUGAUCAUGCCUUGGAGAUCGCUGGUAUUGGUACUAUCAAAAUAAAAAUGUUUGAUGGGACAAUUCGCACAAUUGGAGAGGUACGACAUGUCAACGGCCUGAAGAAAAAUCUAUUGUCUUUGGGACAAAUGGAUAGUCAUGGGUACAAAACUCAUGUGGAGAAUGGAAUUAUGAAGAUCGUUAAAGGCGCGCUUGUAUUGAUGAAGGCAGAAAAGAUCGGUGCUAAUCUAUUCAUGCUUAAAGGAGAAACACUACAGGAGGCUGAUGCGUGUGUCGCGUCAAAUGGAGAAGAGUCAACGAUGAUGUGGCAUCUCAAACUUGGCCACAUGUCAGAACAAGGCUUGAAGAUUCUCUCUGAGCGAAAAUUGCUUCCGAGGCUCAAAUCGGUAAGUUUACCAUUUUGCGAGCAUUGUGUUACAAGUAAGCAGCAUAGAUUAAAAUUCAGUAGAUCUAUUGCUAGAAGUAAAUGCAUUCUAGACUUGAUUCAUUCUGAUGUUUGGGAAUCACCGGAUAUAUCCAUGGGAGGUGCAAAGUACAUGGUGACUUUCAUUGAUGAUUAUUCCAGAAGAUGCUGGGUGUAUCCACUUAAGAAAAAGUCAGAUGUAUUUCUAGUGUUUAAAGAAUACAAAGCGCGGGUGGAACUUGAAUCUGGUAAAAAGAUCAAGUGCUUGAGGACAGAUAAUGGUGAAGAAUAUACAGACGGCGAGUUUCUUGCUUUAUGUAAGCAAGAAGGUAUUCAGAGGCAGUUCACAGUGGCAUACACUCCUCAACAAAACGGAGUAGCGGAGCGGAUGAACAGAACUCUUACAGAAAGAAUAAGAGCUAUGUUGAGGACUGCUGGUUUACCCAAUUCAUUCUGGGCAGAAGCAGCCAAAACCGCCUGUUAUAUAGUAAAUCGGUCGCCAUCUACAGCUAUUGGGUUGAAGACAGCGAUGGAGAUGUGGACUGGAAAGCCAGCUGAUUAUUCCUACCUACAUGCAUUUGGAUGUCCUGUGUACGUGAUGUAUAAUGCCCAAGAAAGAACAAAGCUGGAUGCAAAAUCUAGAAGAUGUAUCUUCUUGGGGUAUGCUGAUGGAGUAAAGGGGUAUCGUCUGUGGGACCCCACUGCCCACAAGAUCGUCAUCAGCAGAGAUGUUAUCUUUGUAGAAGAUCAACUAUAAAGAAAAGAUGGAGAUGAUGGCACUGUAAAAGAAAAGUCAGAGACUGUACCAGUAUAUGUCGAAAAUAAUCUAGAAGAUUCAGAUUCUUCUGAAGCAGCACCAGAGCACGAUGGACAAGAACCAGUCGAGUUCGAGGCUCCAGAAGUUCGUCGGUCAACUCGUGAGAGACGACCGCCGGCGUGGCACUCGGAGUAUGUCAUAGAGAUCAACGUUGCAUACUGUCUUCUAACAGAGGAUGGAGAGCCUUCAACUUUCCAUGAAGCUUUAAACAGUUUAGAUGUUGCUUUGUGGAUGACAGCAAUGCAGGAAGAAAUUGAAGCUCUACACAAGAACAAGACAUGGGAACUUGUACCACUACCACACGGAAGAAAAGCCAUUGGAAACAAAUGGGUCUACAAGAUCAAACGUGAUGGCAAUGACCAAGUGGAGCGGUAUCGUGCAAGAUUGGUGGUGAAAGGAUAUGCUCAGAAAGAAGGUAUUGACUUCAACGAGAUAUUUUCUCCAGUGGUUCGACUCACAACAGUCAGAAUAGUCUUGGCGAUGUGUGCUACAUUUGAUCUACAUCUUGAGCAGUUAGAUGUGAAAACUGCAUUUCUUCAUGGAGAACUUGAAGAAGAAAUAUAUAUGCUCCAACCAGAAGGUUUUGCAGAAACAGGAAAGGAGAACUUGGUUUGCAGGUUGAACAAAUCUCUAUACGGUCUCAAACAGGCGCCGAGGUGUUGGUAUAAGAGAUUUGAUUCCUUCAUAAUGAGCCUUGGAUACAACAGACUCAGUUCAGACCAUUUUGCAUAUUAUAAGAGGUUUGAAGAUAAUGAUUUCAUUAUUUUGCUGUUGUAUGUGGAUGACAUGUUGGUAGCAGGUCCCAACAAAGAUCGAAUCCAAGAAUUGAAGGCACAGUUGGCUAAGGAGUUUGAAAUGAAGGACUUGGGACCAGCAAACAAGAUUCUAGGGAUGCAAAUUCACCGAGACAGAAAUAACAGGAAGAUUUGGCUUUCACAGAAGAAUUACUUAAAGAAAAUCUUGCGACGCUUCAACAUGCAAGAUUGUAAGUCAAUUUCUACCCCACUUCCUAUUAAUUUCAAAUUAUCCUCAAGUAUGUGUCCUAGCAAUGAAGCAGAGAGAAAGGAGAUGUCUCGAGUUCCUUAUGCAUCAGCAGUGGGAAGUUUAAUGUUCGCUAUGAUAUGUACAAAACCGGACAUUGCACAAGCAGUGGGAGCAGUCAGUCGAUAUAUGGCGAAUCCUGGUGGAGAGCAUUGGAUAGCUGUGAAGAGGAUUCUGAGAUACAUCAGAGGAACCUCAGAUGUUGUAUUAUGUUAUGGAGGAUCAGAGUUUACUGUCAGGGGCUAUGUGGAUUCAGAUUUUGCAGGAGAUCUUGAUAAAAGGAAAUCCACUACUGGUUAUGUGUUUACACUUGCGGGAGCAGCUGUAAGCUGGGUUUCAAAACUGCAGACCGUUGUGGCUUUAUCUACAACAGAAGCAGAAUACAUGGCAGCUACACAAGCUUGCAAGGAAGCUAUUUGGAUACAAAGAUUAUUGGAGGAGCUCAGGCACAAACAACAGAAAAUUCCUGUGUUUUGUGACAGUCAAAGUGCCUUGCACAUUGCAAGGAAUCCAGCCUUUCAUUCCAGGACAAAGCACAUAGGAGUUCAGUAUCACUUUGUUCGUGAAGUAGUGGAAGAUGGAAGUGUGGAUUUACAGAAAAUCCAUACUAAAGAGAACCUAGCAGAUGUUUUGACCAAGCCGAUAAAUACUCAUAAGUUUAUCUGGAGUAGAUCCUCUUGUGGCCUAGCAGAAACGUAGGCAACAUGAUUAUGGCGAAGCAGAAAGGAUGGUGUGGAGAUUGAUUGAUUCUCCAUCAAAGCUCCAAGUGGGAGAAAUGUCAAAAGCAGCCAUCCAUCUAGAUGGUCAACAUUCAAAGAAGAGAAAUUUUGCAGCAAGUUGGAAAGGAAAAGGAGCACAUGGGCUUGGCAUUUAAAAGAAGAAGUUGGCAACUACUUUGAAAUAUAUACAUAUAUAUAUUAAUUUAAUAGCCAUUUUUUGGCUAUAAAAGGAAGAGCUUCCUCAUUCAUUUUCAUUCAAUUCCAUCGAGAGAAAUCUUUCUUUCUUUGAGUGUUGAGAGUUUUCAAGAGUUUAAUAAACUCUUGAGUGUCUAGUGAGUGAGAGAUUGGGUGUAUUGGGGUUUUGGGUAGUGAGCUAAAAUCUUACAAUACUUGUAAUCCUUAUUUCACUAGUAAAAUAUUUUCUUCUGUCUUCGCCCGUGGAUGUAGGCUAAAAGCCGAACCACGUAAUUUUUCGGUGUCCUCUAUUGUGCUUGUUCUUUAUUUUAUUUUCAAUUUUAUUUUAGUUGCGGUCCUGCUGCACCCACUAAAUUACUAACAUGUAAUUUUUUUAUUUAACCAAUCAUAUUAUGUCGCAUUAGUUUAUACAGUAUUGUUUGUGCACAAGAGGUGGUGGUCAUAUCAUUACUCUAGCUUUAUUAUUCUUAUGGUGGCAAUGUAUGCUGGCUUACACGAGUAAUUACAAAAUCUGCAGAAUUCUAAAGAAGAGAUUGAGCCAACCCUUCAGCUACAGUGAAGAAGCUAUCCCGAACCAGGCCAAUCUCCUAUACAUGAUUUAGCUUGCUCGUUCUUCUGUACUUGAAUAAUUUGGUUCUACAUAUUUACAAUUUUUUGCUCAUGCUACAAACUUGCAAGACACUUUGGAUUUUGUUUGAUGCAUUCUUUGUUUAAGAAAGGACUUGAAUUGAUGUUUCAUGUUUCAUACAAUAUUCGAUUAGAUUCUGCCUAAAUUUCUGUAUUAUUCGUUCAAUUGGUCUUUUAAGCAUUUGAUUUCUAACCUCUCCUGAUAGAAGAUCAUUAGCCGAAGAAAACAGCAUAACAUUUGUGGCAUUAUCAGAAUAAGAAUAUUUUUUAGUAUAGUAAAAUUAUCUCGACCACUGUUAAAAAGAAUUAAUCAGUCAAACUGACCUUCUCACACCAGCACGCUUUAAAUUAAAAGAAUUUCGUGAAAUCAAGACCAUGUUAUAGAUCUCGUGGAAAGAAGUAAACCCGUAAUUUUUUUCACAGCAUCAUAAGAAAAAUCAUUUUUUUAAAGUAUUUUUGUUAGCUGUUGAGUUUUAAUAGUAGUAGCUAUUAAAUAAUAACAAUUAGUGUAUAUUAAAAAGUUGGAAACUGGUUGAUACCACUCGGGAAUCGAGCAGUUCACUUGUUUGCGAGUAGAAACCAACUUUACUACUAAUUGCCUUGUGACAAAAUAAAAUACCAUACUAUAAUGUGUUGAACCAGGAACCUGCAGAUGCUUAGGUUACAACUAUACAACCUCCCAAUACAAUAAGUUUGAAACUUAAUACCUUCUGAAAUGAAACAAACUUACUUGAAGAUUAAAGAUCAGUGAGAAAAGCCCUUUUUCAGAAGCAACCUACAUUUUUUAGAAGAGGGUCAGUGUGUUAUAGAUUCAAUGAACCAUGAGAAGUUAUUUACAUUAUAGUAUCUCACAGGCAGUAUUUUCUCCUAAUGCAUCAAUGGUAAAGGAAAAAUAAAAAGAAAAGAAUAGUUACUUGUGCAGCACAGCCUUUACGCCUAGCUACAUGGUCCAUUCUCUGUCUUUGAACCAAUCAACAGCAACAAGUUCCAUUAAAUGUUUUCCUGCAGGUAUCUGCAGUUACAAAUUGCACAAAGCACAAGAAGAGCCAACCAAACUACAUCAUAACCUGUCUACCUAGCCUAUGCAGGAUAUAUAAAUACCAUAAAUAAGUACCAUAAAUAACAAAUAAACAACAUAUGGGGGAACCUUUGUUUUGUCAUAACAAAAAUGCUUGCUACGAACUCUAAAGUUAUUUCCAUCAGAAAGUUUCCAGCAGUCACGAGCAUUAUCAUGGUCAUCGUGUCGUAGAUUGCCCGAAAAACAAGACAAAUCAAUUUGAUCAGCCUGCUCUUCCUCUAGGGCUGCAACUAAUUGAAAAUUAAAAAAAAAAAAAAAAAGAUCAAUACCAUAAAAAUCCACUAAUGCGGACAUUAGCCAAAUAUACAAAAAUGAAUACUUAUCAUCCACCUGUCCUCUUGAAAUCAUUCUCAAUCUUUUUUUCAUUUGCCUGAAAUCCCAAGGAAAAAUAUGUAACGAAUACUUCCCAUUCAUGACUAUAGUCUGUUGUAUAAACAUGACAUAUUUAAUUGGAAUAAUAAAAUUAUUUAAUUAUUUUAAUUAAAUGUUAAUCCUACAAAUUAUUUUUGUUAAAUCUAGCAAGAAUAACUAAAAUUUCUUUAAGAUAUAUUUUGGUAGUAAAUUAAAAAAAUUUAAUUAUUUGGCAGGAAUUAUUGAAAUUGGAGCCAUUUUUUUUGUGGGAAUUGAAAUAUAUUCUUUAAAUUAUUAUAUAAAUAGCAAAAUGUACAUACACACACAUAUAUAUAAUUCAUAUAUAAAAAUUCUCUAAUUUGUUCACAAGUAUCAUAGAUUAUAAUUCAGUUAUGAAAUAAAAUAACUACAAUAAUUAUAGUUAAAUGAAUACUUCAUUAAUUCUUAAUUUGCUUCCUAACAUUAAAUGAACAACUUGAGUCAGCCACCUGAAUUAACCAGUAACAACGCCUGAGUCAACCAUCUGAAUAAACCAGCAACCCUAGCUGAUUCAAGCACCUGCAAUUAACAUCAGCACAACAGGAACAAUCUUAAAUCAACACCAAGAACAGACCAAACUGCCAUCAAAUGUCACAAAACCAAACAGUCUGCUACUGCCAUCAAAUGCAAGCAAACAUAUGCAACAAAACCAGAUGCAAGUGAAAUUCUGGAGAACAUCGGAUAAACCAAACCAAAUGCCACACUUCUAGUAAUUAGACUAGAUGCAUUGUUCAAUUAAACUAAAUGUAGUCUCAUAUUACAUUCAAAAUUUCUAAAAAAGGCAGUGUUCCAUCAGAGAAGCACCAAAACCAAACCAAUCUAAUCCAGCAUAAUUACCAGCUCAACCCAAAACAAUUACACAUUAUAUUGACAUAUCAAAAUUCGCUAUCAAAACAUAGCCAAAUAAAUGACAAUAAACUCAAAACAGACCCAAACCAACUGAUGUUGCAGCCCUAGUAGUCGUUGUCCGUUCCACUGCCAUGGGAGUGAGGGUAGGCUCCGUUGUUGAUGAGUGAGUAAGAUAAGGCUCCAAAUCAAUAGUUCCACCUCCUUUCUGCAAUUCAAAAAACAGAAAUUCAUAUAUGUAAAACUAUUAAAAAGUGUGAAACAACCUGUAAGUAUUCAACUUCUGUCAACUCAAUAGUACUUACUAAAGUUUUUAUACAGAAGAAAAAGGCAUUUUAAGUCCAAAAAAUUAGAAUUAUUGGUUGAACUCCAACUCCAUCAAUCCAUGCAACCAUCCAAUCUUUAACGAAAAAAUGAAGCAUAAUUAACAAGACAUCUGAAUCAGAAAGAUUGUGCUUUCGUUUGGCACGAGGUGUUGGAAACAACUUAACAAAUCUAGACACAAUCUAUAACCAUCAAGUCCAAACAAAAGUCAGGAUCUAAAAUACUUUGAAAAAUCAGAAAAACAGCAAAAUAUCAGUUUCAAUUUCUUUUUCAUCCAUUGUAAGCUCAAACUAAAGGUAGCCGCGCUACCUUUAAACAUCAUUUGGGCUUGUACAUGUGACAUUUGCUCAUGAACAACUAAAGUUGAAUAAGAUUUUUAUAUGAAACAGAAUAUAAAAAGUCAAAGUAGAAUAUGACAGGAGCUACAAUAUAUUAUUCAGCAUUAGCAUUAUGUAUAAAAUAAAUUUAGACGCAUUAUAUUGAUUCACAAUCUUGCAGAGGUAAUACCAGAUUAUGGCACGCAACUCUUAUAUAGCAGAUAAAGGAGGAGAUGCAGUGGGAAGGUAGUAUCUUGCUUGCAUGAGGAUUAGAAAGCAAUAGCCCAAGAUCAAUUAUAGAUCUCAUAAAACAAAAACAGUGAGGCAAACACAAUUAUUGUGAACAAUUAUUCAUAGAACCACAUACCAGCAACAAGAUCAGAGUCAUCUGUGUAUAUAUCGAUUCCCCAUAGCUGACUGCCUCUGACCUAAACAUAAUGAACUUACAUAACUAAGAAGUAGAGUCAUAAAAUAUGCAGCUGUAACAGCUAUCAAUAAAUUUCCAGACAAAUGGAAUUUGAUCUGUAAGGCUAUAACUAGCAACACUUCAAAAUAAUUUGAAGUAGCAUGAUCUUACUUUAAGGAUCAAUACUACAAUCUUUCAGAAAAAUUAAAGUCUAAGCAAAAUUAAAACCUUAAACAUACUAAAAUCUGGUAAAUAGACCUACAGGAAUUCCAAUGACCUCCAAAAUAUUUGAAAGAAAAAUUAAUUUACAGCAAAAAAUGUUAAAAGAUUUGUAAAAUGGAAGCCCAUACUACUAUUCAAAUUACAAAUGAGGAAAGGGAGCUGGCCAUUAAAUGAUAAAGGCAUGCAUAAAGAAAUACAAAUAAUAUGCCCAUAAAGACGUCCACUCAAGCGUUAUAAGCGGCUUUAUGCAAAGGAAAGCCAAUUAGUUAACAAUAAAUGAAUUUCAAGGUGCAAUAAUUAAACUCCCUGAUCAGCACAUAUAAGGUUCAUGCAUUUCUACAAAACAUGUAAAUCAUAAGAACUUUUUUGGUCCAAAUGCUAACCAAUAAUUAAGUAGAUUAUCAAAGUUGUCACAGAACAAGCACCACAUUGAUUGCUAUGCAAAAGAUGAAAGUAAAAGUUAAUACUUUAUUUUAUUUUACUUUUCGAGAGUUUUGAUCAUCAUGUGCAAAAUAGUAGUAUAACUUGCUCAGUGUUAUCUCAAAAAGCUUGCUUAAAAUACCUAUUAGCACCAGUCCAAGUAGUCAAAUAAAUCCUUAUCUAUCCAUUCAUCUCUGACCUUGCCAAAAAGAUUUAAAUGAGCAUCUAUAUUCUCACUCCAAUCUUUCACAAUCAUGGGCUUUAUCUUUAGACCAGUUCUUCAAUAUCCCUUCCACUGUGAGCCCCUCGAAAACCUUGUAAAUUGAAUCACAUUUGUCGUCAGUUUCAAAUCCAUGUGUCAAAAGGCUAAGCAAAUGAAUAUACAAUCAACACCAUUCUUCCAAACGAAUAUACAGUCAACACCAUUCUUCCAAACGAAUAUACAGUCAACACCAUUCUUCCAAACACAAACAAAGUUUGAACGUAUGACAGAUUUUUAGCCAUUUAAUAUUCCAUCAAAGAUAAUUAGAUAACACCUACCAAGGAUUUUUGAAAAGAAUGCAUUCUCAUCUUAAGCAGCAACCUCACCAGUAACACAUUUUCAUACCCUGUUUCCACCUCUGGUCGCACCACCAAAAAAAAAUCAGUACUAAUUAGCUUCAACAGAGUCUAUUUUUUUAUUUCUUUUUUUUUUCAAAAUAAACCUCCAUUCUUAUACAUAAAAUUAAAAUAUCAAUUAAAUAAAAAAAGUCUAUGCUUACUAGUAAAACACGUCCAUUUUCAGGUAGAGGCAGAUAAUAAAAGAAAAUUGAUACUGAGAUAAAAUAAGAAGAGCUUACUAUGUGCAUUUGAUCAACAAUCCAAUCCUUAAUGAUGGAAUCGAUGCUAUCAAAUAAACGUGACUUAAUCUUGAAACAUUAAACUGCACUAAGCAUAGCACCAAAGCCAGAGCGUGACUAUAAAGAAGAAAAAGAAGAAUUAAAUCAACAUGAAAUUGAACUUUUGUUUUAUCUUCCACAAGCAAGAAAUUCAACUGGAACAAUACAAAAUAUGAAAUUUUUAGCAAUCUUACUAGCAUUAUACACAAAUCUCAAUUCACGACAAAUAGGGGAAUGAAUCACUAACAUCACCCAAUUCAUAUAUUCAAAUAAUGUAUCCCCACUCCUAACAAGCAACGUGCUACCACAGUCGAUUAGUUGUUAGGGUUAAGGCUCACCAUAGAGAACUGGAUGGCGCUAACUAAAUGACACGUUGAAACGGCAUCUGCAAUCGUAUUGAAUGACAUUGAACUUUUUCAGCUUCGUCGGUUGCGAAUGUGAGACCUUGGCUUAGGGUUCUAUACAGUGUUGUUGAUGCUUAAAUCUGCUCGCCUUUUGACCGACCAGAUUCUUUCACCAACAUUUGUGUUGUCAACUGCUGCUCGGACCACUGGGGUUGGAAUUGCCCUCCUUCCUCUUACUAGACCUGCGUUCACCAAAAAUGGAUCAGAGACGCCGGUGGUUUUGCCGGCGUAAACCCUCCGAUGCCUAAGUUAGCACAAGGUAUUUACGGGAAAACGGUGUAAUUUGGAUUCAAGAAGGGCUUAUAACUUGUUUCGAAGUUUGUAAGGAAAAGGCAUGAUUGCAAUUUGGCAGCGUUUUCCCUCUCUUCAUUUUUUUUGUCCUUUUCUUCAUCGAUUUCUUCUCCUUUUAUAGCCGUUGUCCCAUGUUCCCGUUUGGCUUUCAUCCCUCUUUUUUCGGAUGGUGGCAGCCCCUCAACGGACUCUAACUGCUACAUCAUGGGCAAACGUGGGGUCUCGCAUUACUCGCAACGGUUCUGGGAGAAGCGUAACUACCAUGAUUCUGUGGGAUCGUGUUCCCGCUUUUUCGGGGGAUGGGUAUCGGCUCGGUAUAUACCUCUGGUCGGUAUACUCCCCUGGUUGUACUCGUCUCUGGUCGGACCAUACUUGUCCCUGUGUUCUGCUCGUACCAUUUGGUUAAGGUGAUCCAUGCCGGCAUGGAAAUAGAAGCAUGGCCGACCUGGUGCGUAGCAUGGCCGACCUGGUGCUUUUAUUUACUUAACACCAGUCCCCCAGUUUCUGGUCUUGCGAGUAAAAUGAGUUAAGAGUAGAAACUGAUGGUUGAAUCUUACCAGCCCGGGGCUUCUCAUCUGGUCUUCUGUCAUUCCGGGACGGACCUGAGGUACCAUUCUUGUUCUGGGGGGAUUCUGACCUGAGCAUGGGCCUUAAUAAGCAUGUCCAUUGCAUAUAUGGACUUGCAUCUAGCCUGGCCUCUUGUAACGGUUAGUGACGUGGCGCUUCUCGACUCUUCGUAUUUGAAAUUUGAAACGACGGGCUAUCCGUCCUCGAUAUAUGGGGGGUGAGCUGGCAUAUCCCAUCACUUAAACGCUUCCAUUUCCCCCUUUUCGUUUCAAAUCCCUAGACUGGAGUCAUCAUCAUCUUGUUAUUCGUUUCUCCGCCGUUAAUCAAAUUUUUCUCUGAACUUUGCUCACACUUCCAGCGUCCAGAGUAUCCAUUUGGUGGGUGUUUUCUCUGUCACGGCAGCGCUAUCAGUGUCAGUCUAUUCCAGGUAUAGCCUUUAACCUCUUCUUUGGCUGUUGUUGAUUGGGUUCUGUGUUGCCCCUUUUUGUAUUCGUGUACUUGGGUUUGUUUUGGUUUCCUUUUGGGAUUCCGGUAUGUCGAAUCGGAGAAGGCAGUUGAUUGUAGAUGAGGGUGACGAAGGAACAGAGGAUUCACGCCUUAAUGUUUCAAUACCCACUGAAUUUUUACAUCCCUCUAGUACUGUAGGCUUCUCCCAUGGGAGGGAUACCCUUGAGUACCCACGUCCCUUGUCCAUUUCAUCUUCCCCUGAGCUAGGGCUUGUAGGAAAUAGAGGGGGACCUGCGUCGGGCUCUGGUGAGAACCACAGUUCUGGUGGGGUUGGGGUCCUUGAAGAAGUGGGUAAUAGUGAGGGAAGCAGCUCCGAGCCGAGCCGACCUCCUAAGAAAAGAAACCUUGGGCAUAGGGUGGAGGCGAAUUCUUACCCUAUCGACCAUAUAGCCUGUGCCACCACCCAAACUGACCUGUUCAAGCUUAGGAACCUCUACAACAUUCCUAAGGAGGUUCUUCUUGUAGUUCCUAGGAAGGGUGAUGUUCCUAGUCGGCCUCUGCGGGGGUAUGUGACGAUGCACCUGGAGAGUUUCAAACUAGUAGCUCGGCUGCCCCUUCAGCGUUAUUAUGCCAAGAUAUUGGGGGCCAUGCACCUGGCCCCAGGUCAGCUACACCCAAACGGGUGGAGGGUCCUCUCGGCUAUGUUUGUGUUGUGGGAGAGAUGCGGGUCGGAGGAGCCUUCCCUUGUUGAAGUGAAGCAUUUGUAUCAGCUGCGGAGCAGCCCAAGGGAGGCAGGCUGGUACUACUUCAUGUCCAGUUCUGCGAAGAGAAAGCCCAUUACCGGUUUCCCCUCCUCGUGCAAAAAUUGGAAGAACAAAUUCUUAUUUGCUGGGGGAAAUUGAUGUUCAGCAGUCCGUUCGUUGGGUGGUGAUAUUUACCUUCCAACGCAAUUUGUCACCCCAGGUCGUUCAUUUUUUGCCUGUAUCCUUUCUCGAAUUGCCACUUAUUGGGUUCUUUAACCUUGUUUGUUUUUUCAGAAUCGUGGGGUUUGGUUAAGGAUCUCGAAGACCGGCCUUUGCUUCAGGUGGAAACUGCUCUGGUGAACGCGUCUACUUGUCAAGACCUCCUGUCACCAACAAGCUUGGUCGGUUCGGGCUUAGUAGAUAUUGCCGCAGGAAUGGAUAACAAGAUCCUUAACGCGAUGAGCAGAAAACGUGGUCGGGCUCCGAGUAGCUCCAGCAACCCUCCUCCUCCUCCAAAGAAACCCAGCGUCGGUCCUUCCAAGGCGCCUGUUCCUGCUCUGCCCCCUCCUCCACCUCGUAAGAGUGGUGGGGAGAAAACCUCCGACAAGAGUCCUGAGGUCAGCUUGCAGUCAGGGGACCGAUCUUCUCCUCUUCCAUCUCGGGAUCAAGGUGACUACCUGAGCCCUUAUCAGAAGGAUUAUAAAAAAUCGGUUGGGCCCAAGAUGGUGAAGGACAUCGAGAGCAUGAACCUCUCUGAGUUAGCUGCUUCUGUUCAAAGAGUCUCAUUCAGGCUGGCCACAAUGGUCUCGUGCUACAAGACCGGAUCCGCGCGCCAUGAGAAGAAGCUUCAAGCUGACAAUCAGGAGUUGAAGAAGAAAGAUGAAUCUGCUGACCGCUCCAAGGAGAAACUGGCCGAGUUGAACAAGCAGAUUACGGAGCUGGAGGAGAAAAUUGCAGUUGCUGAGUCCACUGCCUCCAAGUUUGAGGGUGAGCUGGGUGGCCUGAAGUCGGACCUUCAGGUAGCUCAAAGUGAAAGAGAUACUUUGAGGACCGCCCUUGAGGGAAAAAUCAAAUCCCUGAACGAGCAGCUGGCUGAGGGGAAAGGUAAAUCCGCCGAUGUGGACGAUCGGUUGGAUGCCGAGUAUGACUCGGGGGUUGCUUUCUCCUAUAAGUGCAUUAUGUCUGUGCUUCAGGGAGAAUAUCCCGAGCUGGACAUGAGCAAGUUGGAGGCUGGAGUGCAGCGAUAUAUGGCAGAGGUCGGUCAGGCGAACAAGGAGCAGGGUGAGCAGGAUCAGGUGGAGGCUCCUUUUGAUGGGAUGCAAGAGGGGGAAGCUGGGGGACGCACUUUCGAAGUGGGUCAAGGGUCCAUGCCUCCUCCUCCCGGUAUUGCUGAUCUCCCACCUCCUGAUGUUGCUGAUCCCUUACUUCCCGAGCUCGCUGAUCCUUCGGCUGCUGGAACCGUUGACUCUGCUAAGCUUUGAGCCUAUUUUUGUAUAAACUCUAGAUUUGCAUUUGUUUUGUAAACAAUUGAACAUUUAUAAAUUUUUAGAUGCUCUUUAUUUGCUUUCUUGCCCGGUUUUUGCUCAUAGAUUGUUUCUGAAAAACAAUUGGACAACUUAUCUGAUUUUGCCUGCUGGUUCUUUAGUGAGCCGAGCAGGAGUAGGCAUUUGUUUGCCUUAGUAAGAUUUCCAUAAAAUUGGUUACUAGUCUUUAUUGACCGAGCAGAAUUAGGCACUUACUUGCCUUAGUAGGAUUUUUGUAGGAUUAGCUGCUGGUCUUUCUUUGACCGAGCAGAGGUAGGCACUUAUUUGCCUUAGUAGAAUUUUCGUAGAUUAGCUGCUGGUCUUUCGUUGACCGAGCAGAUGCGGGCACUUACUUGCCUUGGUAAGAUUUUCGUAGGAUUAGCUACUGGUCUUUCUUUGACCGAGCAGAGGUAGGCACUUAUUUGCCUUAGUAAAAUUUUCGUAGAUUAGCUGCUGGUCUUUCGUUGACCGAGCAGAUGCGGACACUUACUUGCCUUGGUAAGAUUUUCGUAGGAUUAGCUGCUGGUCUUUCUUUGACCGAGCAGAGGUAGGCACUUAUUUGCCUUAGUAGAAUUUUCGUAGAUUAGCUGCUGGUCUUUCGUUGACCGAGCAGAUGCGGGCACUUACUUGCCUUGGUAAAAUCUUCGUAAAUUUAGCUGCUGGUUUUUCGUUGACCGAGCAGAAGUAGGCACUUGCCUUAGUAAAAUCUUCGUAAAUUUAGCUGCUGGUCUUUCGUUGACCGAGCAGAAGUAGGCACUUGCCUUAGUAAAAUCUUCUUAAAUUUAGCUGCUGGUUUUUCGUUGACCGAGCAGAAGUAGGCACUUACUUGUCUUAGUAGAUCUUUUUAAUGGACUUAUUGGCCAGGGGAUUUCAUGCUGAAUUCAUCUUUAUUGAACUUUGAAUGCGUUACAGAAAUACAGAAUAUAUGCAUAUGCAACAAGCCAUCAUGCGUUUGAAAGGAAUAACUUAUCAAAAUGAAAAUUAAUAGGGCACUUUGCUUACUGGAAGUACUUUUUCAAGUGCUCGGCGUUCCACGACCUCUUCACCUCUCGUCCGUCUGGAUACGCCAGCUUGUAGGCUCCCGGUCCAGUUGCUCGUAUCACCCUGUACGGGCCUUCCCAUUUCGGGCCAAGAGCUCCAUGGUUGGGAUCCCUGGUGUUUUGGUUCACCUUCCUAAGCACCCAAUCUUCUGUUCGGAACUGCCUCACGCGUACGUUUUUGUUGUAAUAACGCGUGACCCUUUGCUGACAUUGGACCACCUUCUGCGAAGCCCGUUCCCUUUUCUCCUCCAGCAGGUCCAGGCUCAAGCAGAUCUGCUCGCCAUUUAUUGCUUCGCCCAAUUCUGAUCCGACCUUAACCACUCUGCUAGGGUCACUCCUGCUUACAACAACUUCCUCCAGCUUCUCAACAGGUUCUUGGCGACCGUUUUUUGAAUCCCCUCGGUUAUCUAGAGAGGUAACUUGCAGUGUUUCCUUGGCCGCUGUAGCAUAGCAGCUCCUGGCCAUUCUCUGGUCGCCCUUUACUACACCCACAACUCCAUUUAUUCUGUAUUUCAGUGCCAGAUAAUGUGUGGACAUUACACAUUGGCUUAUUCUCAUGAACGGUCUCCCCAAUAUCAUCUGGUAAGGACUUCUUUCCUCUACCACGACAAAGUCUAGCAUCAUCGUUCUUUCAAAUGGCUUUGUCCCCACAGUAAUCGGGAGUUCAAUGACCCCCAUGGGAGUUAAUCGUCCCCCUCCAAACCCCUUCAAGGAUGUGUUCGUCCGCUCCAGCUUUAAGUCUGAAAUCCCCAUAUCAUCUAGGGCCGACUUAAACAGAAUAUCGACUGAGCUGCCCGUGUCCACCAGUAUUCGCCUUACUUCUGUACUAGCUACCAACGCUUUAAUCACCAGUGCAUCCUCAUAAGGAUACAAAAUGCCCUCUUCGUCAUCCUCCGUCCACAUAAUGGGCACUUGCCGCACUCUUGCCUUCUUGGCUGCUGGCAAAUUUAGAAGCACCUCUUUGCCAGUCAUGGCGUACCUCCCAUAGUUCUUCCGUGCUCUAUUUGAAUCCCCGACCAAUGUUGGCCCUCCUGCUAUCACACGGAUGGUCGGCUGUUCACGUUCCAGAUCCCUCUCAACUCCUUCAUCCCGUGUGUACUGUGAUUCCAUGGCAGGGGACAUUCCAUCUACAUACUCGUCCAAGUAUCGGUUCCUCACUAAAUCCUCCACCUGAAUCUUCAGGUCACGACAUUGGCUGAUAGUGUGACCAUGAGUGUCGUGGAACUUGCAGAAUCUGCUCUUAUCCCGUCGAUGAGUCGGUUUUGUUAUUGGGGCUGGAAGGUACAGCAGGCCUCGUCCUUCGAUCCUCUCAUACAAUUUCUCCAUGGAGAUCUUUAAUGGAGUGUACUGUCUAUAUGCCAAGCUCUGGUCUACUAGCUGAACUGCUCGGCUAUCAUGAACGUCUCCUCGGGUUGGUAUAGCCGGUAGCUGCUCUAGUCGUCCAGACCUGUAAUUAGUUGCACUUAAUCCUCUGGGAGUGCUGUGAUAAGGGUAGGCAGCCAUCUGCCUGAAUUCUCGCUGUCGCUCUGGGAUCGGGGGGCGCAGAGGUUGAGCCCGGCUGUGUUGGAACUGUUGUGAUCUCGGAGCUAUGGGAUAAGGGCGGGACCGAGCUGAUGUUCCGCCCCUUACUGAGGACUCCCCAGCUCGCUUUCCCGACCCGCUCCCACUUGGAGUUCUUCUUUCCUUUCGUCUCAGCUCCUCCAACUGUUCACUCUUUAUCCUUGCCGAUUUUUCUUCUUCGAUUUCGAUGUCUCUCUUUGCCUGCUCAUACCCUGCUGAAUAACUCUGCACUAGGGGGCUCCUCAGGUUAUUCCAUAGCCGGCCUAUCCUCACACCCUCCUUUAAUCCCCUCAAUGCCUGCGGGUGAUUGAAAGCUCCCAAAUCAAGUACGGCUUGGUGGUAUCGCUUUACAAAAUCCCGUAGGGAUUCAUGCUCCUCCUGUUUUAUCCCCAUCAGUUCCAUCAUGUCAUCCUCUGGGGCUGCUGCUCCUCGGAACUGCUCGGCCAACUCCUGGCACAUCUGCUCAUACCCCUUUAUACUUCCUCGGGAUAGCUUGCGGUACCAUUCUCGGGCUCGUCCCUCUAGUGUCAACGGGAACACCCGGCACCUCUGAGCUGGUGUCAGCCCCUGCACACCCGUCAUGUCGUUGAAACGCUCGAUGUGCACCAGCGGGUCACUUCGCCCGGAGUAUUUGAGGUCGGGGAAGCGGAAAUCUCUUGGGAUUAUGAUACCCAUGAUCUCAGUUGAUAACGGAGAUUCUUCAUCUAGCAUUAUCCUCCAGCUCGGGGGCUUUCUCUUGCCCUGUUUCCUCGACUCUACGCCUCCAGAGGUUGGAUUCUGCUCCAACUUCAUCUCUUCCCACGGGGGUUUCACAAUCCCUUCUCCGCUCAUCCCUCAGCUCAAACAAUAUGGCCGCGAGAGUCUCCAUUUGUUUCUCCAUCCGCUCCAGUCUAUCUUGCAUCAUCCUCUCUCGGGCUUCAUUUGCAAUUUCCCGAAGAGUGAUUGUCUCCCCAGCUUCGUUAUCCUCCCUCAAGGCGUCCUUCCUCGUCACAUCCAUGUCUAACCGUUCGUCGUUUCUCCGGUAACUCCUAAUUCGGUGGUAGCUUUUUAUCCAGCUCCCCACAGACGGCGCCAAAAUGUUGAUGCUUAAAUCUGCUCGCCUUUUGACCGACCAGAUUCUUUCACCAACGUUUGUGUUGUCAACUGCUGCUCGGACCACUGGGGUUGGAAUUGCCCUCCUUCCUCUUACUAGACCUGCGUUCACCAAAAAUGGAUCAGAGACGCCGGUGGUUUUGCCGGCGUAAACCCUCCCAUGCCUAAGUUAGCACAAGGUAUUUACGGAAAAACGGUGUAAUUUGGAUUCAAGAAGGGCUUAUAACUUGUUUCGAAGUUUGAAAGGAAAAGGCAUGAUUGCAAUUUGGCAGCGUUUUCCCUCUCUUCAUUUUUUUUGUCCUUUUCUUCAUCGAUUUCUUCUCCUUUUAUAGCCGUUGUCCCAUGUUCCCGUUUGGCUUUCAUCCCUCUUUUUUCGGAUGGUGGCAGCCCUUCAACGGACUCUAACUGCUACAUCAUGGGCAAACGUGGGGUCUCGCAUUACUCGCAACGGUUCUGGGAGAAGCGUAACUACCGUGAUUCUGUGGGAUCGUGUUCCCGCUUUUUCGGGGGAUGGGUAUCGGCUCGGUAUAUACCUCUGGUCGGUAUACUCCCCUGGUUGUACUCGUCUCUGGUCGGACCAUACUUGUCCCUGUGUUCUGCUCGUACCAUUUGGUUGAGGUGAUCCAUGCCGGCGUGGAAAUAGUAGCAUGGCCGACCUGGUGCGUAGCAUGGCCGACCUGGUGCUUUUAUUUACUUAACAAGUGUUAUAGAGAGAGGCUCAGAGUUGAUUCAUUUUAGGUUGCAGUGGCCAGUGGAGAGAGAGGGAUUUAUUCAACGCUUAGCCAAAAUUUGGCGGAAGUGUUGAUGUGUUUUAAGUUAUAUAAAACGGUGUCGUUAAUUUAAACGGCACUGUUUUACAAUCUUAUAAUUUCACAAAACUUAAGCAUGACUUAUAUGUAUCAUUUAUUUAGGACGGUUAAGUUACGUCAUGAAUAUGUCAUAUAUUCUGGACAUAUGAAUAUAUAUCAUGAAUCUAUCAUAUUUUUAUGAUACAUUCGUGACACAACGAUAUAUGUCAUAAAAUUUCUGUCAUUAUUUAAUACUUUUCUAGUAGUGUCAUAUCUUUAAAACCUUUCUAUUAAUAGCAAAAACUCUAAUCCUUUAGCAAAAGACUAAAAAUUUAAAAAAAAAAAUUCUGUUUAAAUAUCAGUUGGCUCAUGAUCAACACUUCAAUACUAUUUGUUGUAUUUUCUUUCUUUCUUUCUUUGUCAUUUUAUUAGAUUUGCUUAAGUAAUUGUUCAUUGUUUACGUCUGUGUUCUUACUAGCUUUUGAUAAUUUAUGGUUGGUUUUUUAUUCAAACCCUCGAAGUACCUUUCUGUUAACAGCAAAACCUUUGAUCCUUAAGAAAGAAAAAGAAAUUCUCUAUUUAGUUAUUAGUUGGUUCAAGAUCAAUAUCGCGAUAUUGUUUGCGGUCUUUUCAUUCUCUAUCUUUCCCUCUAGUUCAAUUUAAUUUAUUUGUAUUCCUUUCUUUGACCCUUGUAUUUAUAUAUAUAUAUUGUUAAGCAACAGGCAAUGGCUGCAGAAGGGUGCCUCCCUGCUUUUUCCAGCAUUGUAUCACAAGGUUCAAAAGCGUUAUUCGAACCGAUUAUGCGGCACAUAUAUUAUGUGUUCGAGUACCAGAGCUACAUAGAUGGGCUAAAAGAUCGAGUGAAGGAGCUGGAAUAUAUAAGAGAAAGGGUGCAAAUGCUGGUUAGAGAGGCUACUCUACAAGGAGAUGAGAUUUAUAAGGGUGUCAGAGACUGGCUAAAUAGAGUUGCUGAAUUCAGUGAAGGGGUUGCAAAAUCCAUCAUUGAUGAUAAAGAUAGAGCUAAGAUGUUCUGCUUCAAAGGGUUGUGCCCAAAUUUGAUUUCUCGUUACAAGCUUGGUAAACAAGCAGCAGAGGCGCAAACGAAGCUGACAAACUUGUGAAAAAAAGGCGAAUUUAACAUAUGUAAUCAUGUUUCCUACCGUCCUGCUCCAGAGAGUACAGAAUAUGUGCAAGUGAAAGAUUACGUAGCCUUUUAUUAUAAUAUCUUUUCACUCUAUUAACUUAAAAAAAGAUUGACUUCAAAUGUUAAAAAUGUAACAGCGUAUACAUUUUAUAAUAAUUUCAAUAUUUAAAAAAUAUUUGAAUACUUUACAAUCUUAUAUUAUAUUAAACUAAUUUUAUAAUAUAUAGAAACAUAAUAGUAAAAUAAAUAUAUAAAAUUUUAAGUUAGGCUUAAUAUUAUUUAAAAUAAUUUAAAUAUCAUUAAUACAUGAGAUAUAUUAUAUUAAUUAUAAAUUCUAUUUAAUCUAAAUAUUUAUUUAAAUUUUUUAUACUAAAAAUAGAUAUAUUAUUAAAAUAAAUAUAACAACUAACAUUUUAAAAAUUAAUACUGAAAUUAAAAUUAUAAAUUAUAUUAAUCUACUAAAAAGAUUAAUCUAUUUGACACUCGCAGCGGACAAUGAGGUCACGGCAUAGGACAACUUCUUUUGAAAAAAAAAAAAAUCAAAAUCAAAGUCAUUGAAGUGCGUUUGAUGAUUUGCUGUGUAGCUUCUCUCUCAAAUGCUUUUCGAGUGCCUCUGGUAUCUGCUUUUAUAUAAGCUUUUGUCUUUAAUCAUUCAUUCAAGCUUUCGCUAAGAGUGAUGCAGCACAGCACGUAAAUAUAGAAGCAUUGACAGCCGUAGUCAGGAGCUCUUCGGUAUUUGAAGCAAGAAUGGUUGUUUGGCUUUGUGCAUUGAAAGAGAAAAGAAAAUAGAAUGACUAAUUUCAAUAAUACAAUUUAAUUAAUUAAUUUAAAAUAAUAAGCAUAUAAUAAUGAUGAAAUUAAUUAAUAAAAAGAAGAAAAUGAAAAUUGCACGUGCUAUUAGCAUAAACCAAUUGCCGGAAUGAGGUCACUUUGUAGACAAAUGAUUCUGGAAUCAGAACUUGGGCCAGCUUUGGGUUAUGGAUCCAAAAUAAAAAUAAGGUGGGCCACAUGGUCUCUUAUGAUCAAUAAAAAUCGAUUGAAAAGGAUGGUAUGGUGAGUGGAAGAGAAAUGUCGAUGGCAGAUCAAGGGAUGAAGAUACGAGCUCACUUGCAACGUGGUAUAGUUCAUCAUGGCUUUCCUAUAAGUUCAGGUCCUUUGAAUACUUUCAAUGACCUUAUUAGUCAGGAAUUUAACAAUAAUUUUUAUUUUUUUACAUCCAGGAACGGUUUUAAGCAUAGGAAAAUUAGGCCUAUAAUAGCAAAUCUUCUUUUUUAGGCCUCUUUUUAGUUAGUAAUUAUCUUAUAAUUAAGAAUUUUUAUACACAUUCUAUAUUUGAUAACCUUAAUAUUAAAGAUCUCUAAUUGUUAAUUUAUUAUUAGUUUUUCCAAGAAAAAAAUUAAAUUCUUUAUCUAUUUAAAAAAGUUUAUUAUUUAACAUUAUAAAAUUUUUUGCGCCAUUCUCUAUAAAGAAAAUUAUUACAUUUAUUGGUUCACUUUUGAAUUAAAAAAAAGUUUAUUAAAUAAUAAUUCUAGAGGAAGUAAAAAAGAUAUCUUCUUGGAAAUGUUUCAAACCCAUGUGUUUGGAUCUGUUUGAUAAUUUGUCGAAUUUGCCCACAUAUGAAAUUAGUAUGAUUUUACAGGUUAUAUUAUUUAAUUGGCUAUUUCAUUAAAAAAAAAAAAAAACACACACACACACACACACACAAGGAUUUUUAUUUGAUGGUAGAAGUUAAGUUGUUUUUCAGUGAUAAAUAAUGUUGUUAACCAAAUUUAAUUGACAUUCUACGUGGCAGUAAUUCAAUUUUAUAGAAGCACGUGGAUUAAAGGACAAAAACACAUCCAGUAUUUAAUAUUGGAUAUGAAUAUGGAUUUUAUCCAUAUAGAUAUGGAGAUCUACGGAUAUUUUAUUUUUAUUAUAUAAAACUAAUAAUAUAAAAUAGUUAAAAUUUCAAUAUCAAAUUUGAUUAUUAAACUAUUUAUAUUAGUAAUAAUAUAUAUAUAUAUAUAUAUAAUGAAAUGGCCGUCCGGUGGCCGGCAACGGAGGUCCGCGAAGUCUCUUCAUUCUCCUGUUAAGUAAUAAAAAAAAUCAAAACAGAGGAGAAACAUGGCCCUCUUUUCAUUCCCCUGUUUGAUAACAAUAAAAACAAAACAAAGGAGAUACGUGGACUCUCUUCUCAUUCCCCUGUUUUUCUUUUCGGUUUGGCGAUUUUAAAAUUUGAUAUCUACACUCAUUAAAAAAAGAAAAAAAAAAGUUAUUCCAAGAUGAUUUUCUAUUUUCAUAUAGACGUUUAUUUAUUAACCAAAAUUUAAAAAGUGUAAUUCUAAACUUAUCCUUGUGCUUUGAUCUUGGAGGGAUUUUUCAUUUUUUCUACACUGGUCUUAUCAAUUAAUGAUGAAAGUUCUUAUCAUUAAUUGCUUUGGAAAUGAGCAAGCACGGUAUGACCCCUAAGAGAAUUUAUUAAUUGGACAAGUUAUAUAACACCUUUGAUAUGGCUCCUAGACAUGUAUGCAAUUUGUAUCUUUUAGUUUUGCUUUUAAUUCUUUUUUAAUUAAAUGAGUCCGGAUUAGGUCAGUGGCAGAUAAAAGAGUCGGUUUUUCCAUUACUAAGCUUUUCAUGGAUGAAAAUUUUAUUUAUUUUUUUGGUUUUAAAGGUUCUCUGUGAAUGCCAUUAGAAAUGAGAUUGACUAAUUCAAGCUUCCUUUUUCCCCUUAGCAUCCAAACGUGUGAGGCAAGGGCAACUAAUGAGUCCCUUGUGAUGAGAACCUUUGUCUAAGCAAAAGCAGAGGUCAAUUGCUAAUACCGUAAUGUUAUUACUUUCAGUGCUUAAAUUGCUCCAUAAGCUUGCAUUUUAAAGUCUUUGUCUUAAUUUCUGUGGUAUACUGGUUAUGAGACCUCCUGCCAAGUUCAAGUUUCUUGAUGUCUUAUAAUUCCAUUUGUUGUGGUGGUUACUUUGUCAUAGAACUGACUGUUAAAGGCCAUCAAUCAGCUCUGUUUUGUAUUUGUGUACGUUUUUUUUCGUAUAAUGAUCAAUCAAAUGUUAGCCCUUAGAUUGCAUCCAAUAUUUAUUGAUUGUCUUUAAUUAGGAUAUAAACUAAAUUCAUAAGACAUUCCCUUAUUGAUAUUCAUUCCAACACGUCCUAGUCUUUUGCCUUGUAGAAAUGCUUGUGGUUGAAGAGCUUUACACAGAAGCUGUCGUCAGUACUGCGCGGAAAUUGAUUAUAUUGAAUCAGAAAACUUGACUAGGUAAGGUCUAUGUGCAUGAGAAUACUUGGAAAAUCUUCACAAUACUGAGGGCCGGAUCUGCACUCUUUCCUCUAUAUGUGUCUUCAAUAUCAAUGGCUCAAAUACAUGUGUUAUGGUCUUUUAAUAUAAAAUACCAUUAUCUCAUGCGUUAUGGUCUUAUCCUUGUAUUCUUAAAAACUAUAUAAAAUACCAUUAUCUCUGCUUUUGUAGCUAUUGAAUUCGACUUUCACAACAUAAAUAUUUAUUUAUGUUAAUGUGUAUAAUUUUGAAAAUUAUAUGCAUUGUUAAUGUGUAUUAUUGUCUAAUAUUUGGAUUUUAUUAAUUUACAACUGCUAUAACUUAAGGCCUCUUCAAACAUAAUGUGAGUCCCACCACGUGUUAAAUUUUUUACAUUAUUUUUGAAGGAACUAUAAGUUACAGCAGCUGUAACUUAGCAGCACCUCCAAUAUUUUACUUUACUUCCCCUAAUAUUUUACUUGUACUUUUAUAUCUUUACAAAACAAUACCAACAAGACAAUAAUGUAUGAAAUAAAUAAAUAAAGAACUGACAACGAAAUUAGGCCUAUCAUUAAUUUCUCGUGGCGUGAACUCUUGACAAUUCUCCCAUAUCCCACCUGAAGCUCUCGCGUGGUGUGAACGCUUGACGAUUCUCCCAUAUCCCUCCAAAAAUUUGUCAUAUUACGAAAAGCAAUGUCAAUUCAAUGUCGUCUCCAUUAAUCAUAGUGGCAGAUAGGACUAGAAUUUGUUGAAACCCCCGGACUUAUUUUUCCUUUUGAAAAUAAUUUUGUAGAAUCUCAUAUCGUGAAUAACAGACAAUGAGACUCUUUUUUUUAACUAUAAUAUUUUUUUUUAAAUUAUUAACUAAAAAAAUAAUUUUAAUAUUUUUAUAAUAAAUAUAAGUAGGAUAUUAAAAUAAAUAUAAUAAUAUUUAUAUAUUAAAAUAAUUUCAAUACCAAAAAAUAUUUUAAUAUUUUACAAUCUCGUAUUCUAUUAAACCAAAUUAUAAUAAAUAGAGACAUAAUAUUCAAAUAAAUAUAUAAAAAUUUAAAUUAUUUUCAACAUCAUAUAAAAUAACUUUAAUAUUAUUAAAACAUGAGAAAUAUUAUAUUAAUUAUAAAAACUAUUUAACCCAAGGAUUUGUUUAAAAUUUUUAUAAUAAAUAUAUUAUUAAAAUAAAUAUAUUAAAUUACAUUUUAAAAAUUAAUUAUUUAAAUUAUACAUACUAGUCUACUAGAAAAUUUAAACUAUUUAAAUCAUAUAUACAUUUAGUAAAAAAUUUUGAAGUCAUUUUUUUUUAUGUGGCUACCAUAAGAGUACUAUAGUCAAAAAGGGUAUUGGUGUUCUUUAUUAAAAUUUUGGGGUCUACAUGACUAUUUUCUAAAAUUUUAAGGGUGUCAUUUUAUUUUUGGAAAAAAAUAAAAAUUUCAUUUAAACGGCUAAAAUGGUGAAUGAUGGUUGUCGAAGCCAACAAAAAUAAAUAGAUACUCUAAAUAAAUUGUAUAUAGUGAUUGAGCAGGGUCGUGUCCACAUAGAUCGGUAAUUAUUUAAAUUCUUUUAAAACAUAAAACAUAAAAUGGGGGUUUUGUUGACAAUAAUAAAAAUCAAAGUAAAAAAACGAAUGCAAAUUAAAGUUGGAAUUCAAAUUGGAGAAAGCUCUGGUUGAAGGAAUUAACUCAGCUUGAUUCAACUGCUGAUCAUUGAUUCAAAUAUAAAUUAUUAUUACUUAUGAAUAGACCGGUUAUAGCUACUGAGACCCUCUAAUAGCCAAUCUCUCCUUAAUUAGUCAAUAACCAAGGUACGACCGUUGGUUAUUUUCCUAAUCAAUAGACAACCCUAGAUACGAUCAUAGAAUUUAAUCAAUUGACAGCCUGAAAAACCAGAGAGACCCAAAUCCUAAUCAACAAACACAUACGAUGGUUCAUUUAAAUUAGAUUGUUUAUUCUCACAACACAACUCUUUGCUAUGUUAUUUGUCACAAACAUUAAAAUCUUCAUACGAUGAAUCCUUUAAUUGACAAUAGAUUAAGUUGAUAAUUAAAUAGUGGCCAAUUACCUAAUUAACAAACAUAAUCAUGAAAAUAAUUUAGAGAAUAAACAAAUACCCAAAAAGCAAUAAAAAAAUUAAAGCAUAAGAAAGAUCUCACAGUAGUGAUGAAUCAAAGCUUCAUUAACCUUCAACCAGAAAAAUAGGUUUAGUUCUUCAUAGAGAGAAGAGAAAAGUUUAGAUCUAGGGUUUCUUUCUUUUUCCAAUCUCCCAUUUUUCACAAUAGAUUCCUCCCUUAAAUACUCUCUCUCUCUUCUCAUCUAGAGUUCUAUUUAAAAUAAAAUACUAAUAUCUGAAAUAUUAAAUUCAUAAUUACAAAAAUAACCAAAAAUACAAAACACGUUAAACUAAAAACUGCAGGUCCGUAGUUGACAGCACGCGCCCACGCCUUAUCAACAAAGUUCUUUUGACGCUCAUAAUUUCUCCAAUGGAACAAUCAUCCUUAAACAUCAUCUUGUAACUCAAUUUUUGCACCAAUCAAUAGAAUUGCACCUAUAAAAAUAAAACACAAGUAAAUCACUAUUAUUAAGUACAAAACAUCGAUAUUAAGGGAAGUAAACAAUUCAAAACUAGUGCAUAAACUGCACUCUAACAGUGAAUAGUACAAUGCUACAGUGGGCGUAAAUGGAAGGUAAAAAGCACUCAAAAUGACCAACAGUCUAAUGCCUCAGCAGGGACAUAAGGUCAAAGUUUGUUACAUGUGGUUAGGGCCAUUUAGUCUGUGAGUGGGUCCUGCGUGUCAUUUUUGGGCAUUUCAUCUUCUUUAGCAUUGAAGAUUAAAUGUUGCCGAUAUUUUCAAAAUUUUGGAAGACCCAUCACACUUUUGGAUGGUUGUCAUUAUUUGAUAUUAUCAUUAUAUGACGAAAUAAAAUUGGAUGUAACACUUGUUUCGCGUUGUGUGAACUUUUGACAAUUCCCCCAUAUCCCCCAAAAAUCUUUCGCCAUUUUGGGAAGAUGCCAUUUAUUUUCAUUUUCAUCAUUGAUAGUGGCAGAUAAUGGGUUCGGGGACAUACUAUAAAUUAUUAUGACCCAUGGACUUUUCUAAUUUUUUUCCCUUUGGAUAGUUGUCGUUAUUUGAUAUAAGGAGAUAGAGAUAAAGUUUUUUAAUCAAAUGCCCAUUUUUUUUACCUUUGGAUAGUUGUCGUUAUUUGAUAUAAGGAGAUAGAGAUAAAGUUUUUUAAUCAAAUGCCCAUUUUAUUUAACAUGGAAGAAGAUCUUUAAACUCUAAGUGAGGCUAUCACUUCAACUGAUGCAGCCCUCAAGAAAGAGGUAACAAGUGAUGAGAUAGACUCAUUAUUGUCUAAUCAAAAAAGGACAUCAGUAGAUGUAUCAGGAUCUUAAGUUAGAUUGGAAUUUGAUACAUUGUUGCUGGUAACAUUGGUUCAAACCUUUAAAGCGAGGUUGGAUGCAAAAUGGUUUACACCAAAGAAGUGAUUUAGGAAGUUAAUUAACGUUAUUUUAGAUAAUUUAUAAUUCUAGAAUAUUUAUUAUUUUAUGAUUUUCUAUUUUAGUUUGAGUCAAUUAUGGUAUGUAUCUUAAUCUUUUAUUUCCAUUAUAAUUAUGAUUUAAAUUUUCUUUUUAGGUUAAUUUAGGAAAGUGGAUUUCUUUUAUUAUAAAUAAAGAUGUCUGUAAUAAAAAAAAAUAAAGAUGUCUUGUCAUUAUUUUCAAAACUUCAAGUUCAAUUAUUAAAUAAAACCCCUCUUUUAUAAUUUCCUCUAAGAUUAUUUAUCAAAAUCUCUCUUGUAGAGUCGUUUGGAUUAGAGUGUCAUCUAAUCUCGUAUUACGCGUUAUUAAAAAUCGCAUUGAGUCAUUUGGAUUAGAACAAUAUCUAAUCACGCUUCGAAUAGAGCGUAAGCUAAUUGCAUUGGCUUGGUCCAGUAUUAGAACGAUAUCUAGUGUUUCUUACCCUAUAAUUCUGCUUCCGCUACGCCUCGCUCCAUCAAUUCGUAUCAAAGCGAUUCUAUGCGAAUCACACAUCGUUCCUAGAUACACGAUACCCAUCCAAACCAAAUCCAUCAAAAAAAAAAAAAUUUACAAAUUUGAAAACCCUACCCGUCACAUCAACCUCCACCGCCGCCCACACCGCCGAUCAGCCAGCCAACACCACCACAAACCUCACUAGCCACCGUCGACCAAGCCUCAGUCAUCGCUGCCUCAACGGCCGCUUGAACAGCCGCAAAUCACCAACGCAAACCCGCGGCUCCACCAAGCAACCCACCACCAUUCAGCCACUUUCUCCAUCAGCCACCUCCACCAACAAACUCGCCGGCCUCCGUUGGCCAAAAACCAACCAACUUCAGCCCUUGAUCGCCGCCCGCUGUCACCAGACGAAACGACAACCCACGAGUGCUUCCUACACGCGCCGCCACCAAAACACCUUGUUUUUCCGUCAAUUUACACCACCACCAUAAUCCCUAGCAGUCGGCAACCGUAAAUCCAGUCUUCUGCCACUGUAAGGCCGCCAUAAACCAAAAGCCACAUCACCAAAAUCAACCGCCAAUUCAAGUCGGAUUUCCCCCAAUUCAAGUUGCUGAAUAUAAAAAGGACUCAUGAAAAUUACUAAAGUUUCAAAUAUUGUUAUUCAGCAACCACUUUUAGGUUACAUUAGUUUCAACCCAAAUUUUAUAUAAAUAAUUUAUAACUCCCAUUAUUAUUAUAAAAAAAAUUGUAGCAAUUGUGGUUAUAUCACAUGAAAAAAAAAAAUUCUAAUUAAAGAAAUUGACAUUAUAACUUAAAAGGAUAGUUGCUCUUUUAAUCAUUAGAAUUUAUGUCAAUUAUCCAGCUUAUCAUUGCAUUCUUAAAAACUAUAUACAAUACCAUUAUCUCUGCUUUUGUAGCUAUUGAAUUUGACUUUGACAAUAUAAAUAUUUAUUAGCAACAACUUAAAAUUCAAACAAAUCUAAUAUGUAAUGUAUGAAAUACAAAUAACAAUUAAACAAAUUUUGAUUAUUUAAUAUUAAGAUAUAAUCACAUUAAUAUCAUAAGGAUAUGUGGUACUCAAAUAAUCUUUUAAAAAUCAAACCCAAAUUAUAUAUUAUUAAUAUGUAUUAUUAUCUAAUAUUUAGAUUUUGUUAAGUUACAACUGCUGUAACUUAAGUCUCUUAAAAAAUAUGUGGGUCCCACCACCUAUUAAAUUUUUUACAUUAUUUUUAAAAAAAUUAUAAGUUACAUCAGUUGUAAUGUAAAAGCCCCCCUAAUAUUUUACUUUACUUUUAUACCUUUAGAAAAACAAUAAUGCAUGAAUAAAUAAAGAACUGACAACAAAAUUGGGCCUAUCAUUAGUUUCUCGUGGUGUGAACUCUUAACAAUCCUCCCCUAUCCCACCUAAAGCUCUCGUGUGGUGUGAACGCUUGACAAUUCUCCCAUAUCUCUCCAAUAAUCUGUCAUAUUGCGAAAAGCAAUGUCAAUUGCAAUGUCGUUUCCCAUUAGUCAUAGUGGUAGAUAGGACCAGAAUUUUUUGAAACCCCUGAGGCCCUGAACUUGUUUUUCCUUUUGAAAAUAAGAAAAGGACACCCGUCUGGAGAAAUAAUUUUGUAGAACCUCAUAUCUUGAAUAACGGACAAUAAGAUUUUUUUUAAAUUAGAUAUUUUUUAAAUUUAUUAACUAAAAAAAUUAACUCUAAUAAUUUAUGAUAAAUAUAAAUAGGAUAUUAAAAUAAAUAUAAUAAUAUAUACAUAUUAAAAUAAUUUCAAUAUCUAAAAAUUUUAAUAUUUUACAAUCUCGUAUUCUAUUAAACCAAAUUAUAAUAAAUAGAGACAUAAUAUUCAAAUAAAUAUAUAAAAAUUUAGGUUAUUUUCAAUAUCAUAUAAAAUAAUUUUAAUAUUAUUAAUACAUGAUAAAUAUUAUAUUAAUUGUAAAAUCUAUUUAACCUAAGGAUUUAGUUAAAAUUUUAAAAUAAUUACAAAUAUUUUAUAAAUACAAAUAAAUUAAUUUACAUUUUAAAAAUUAGUAUUGAAAUUUAUUAUUACUUGGACAAAUUAACACCAAAAUUAAUAUCUAUGCAAUUUGUGUCAUUUACUUUUGCUUUGUAAUAUUUUUUAAAUGAGUCCCGAUUGGUUCAUUGGCAGAUAAAUGAGUCGGUUUUUCUGUUUUUAUUUUAUUUUAUUGUUUUUGAAAAUGGUUUUUCUGUUACGAAGCUUCUCAUGGAUGAAUUUUUUUUUUAAUUUGGGUAAUUUUUAAUUGGGUCCUAAUUAUUUCUAGAAAAAAAAUUCAGAGACCAAAAGUUUACUAAAUGAAUGAAUUAAAUCCUUUUAAGUGCAAAUUUAUGUCAUUCAAGCCCUUAACCCAAUUCUUCCGUUAAAAAAAUUAGUGAAAAUGUUAAGUUAAAUAUAAAAAGACAGGUAUACCCUUAUAAUCAUAUUAGUGAUUUAAAAUACAAUUUUAGCCUUGGACAUUAUUUUUUUUUUCAAUCUAACAACCUAUUUAUCAAUUUGAGUAUUUGAAAACACUAAACGAAUAUCUUUCGCCAAUUUUUAUAAAAAUUCAAAUAUAAAGAGUGAAUUAUACAUGAAAAUGUAAUUUGCUAUCCAUAUAAUUUCAUCACAUCAAUAAAAAUAUGAUAAUUGUUAAACUAAAUAACAUAUGUAUUGAAUAUAAUAUUAAAAAAAACACAAUAACAUUCGGUCUAAAAAUGAAAUUAAAAGUAUGAAAGUCAAUUAAAUUCAAACUAACAAAUACCUUAACAAUACUAAAGUAAACUGAAAUUUAAACACAAAAAAUAGUUAAUUGUCUUCUGAACUCUAUAAUGGAGAAUUAAAUGCCAACCCAAGGUGAAAUUGUACUAUCCUACUCCCUGUUAACUAUGAUAAGUUCUUCAUUUUGAGGUUGAGGUACAAUCCACAAUAGUUGUGUAUACAGUCCCACUAGUUGAGUGACAUUGAUUGAAGCCUAACUAGCUUGUUUUGGAACUAUUGCCAAUUGAUUGUUCAUUGACAUCUACUUCUUGAGAUUGUGGGUUAGUUUCAUGCUAUUCAAAAAAGAAAAAAAAAACAUCAAUUUCAUUAAAUAAAAAAAAAAGAAUCAAUCUAUUCAAUAUAAUUCCACAAUCAAAUCAAACAUAUAUAGCUAGUCAUGUUUUAUUAGCUGCAUACACAUCACUAGGAUCACCAAGUUAUUAAUCCAUUUGAUAACAUAACAAAAAAAAAUAUAAUGAGAUUCAAUUACAAAAUCAGACCUGUGUGGUUGAUGAAGUGAUAUCACUUGCCUGUGCACAAAAAAAAAAUCACCAAGUUUUAAGCAAUUUAAUGAAAAAGAACAAAAAACAAUCCUUUAGAAUUAAAUUUUCAAAAUCAUAUUAAACACGUCCACUUGAUUAAGUCUUAUUUCUUCCUUACACACAACCAAUAUCACCAAGUUUUAAGCAAUAUCUAGUGCAAAAGAAAAAAAAUCCUUUUGAAUUUAAUUAUAAAAUAUAAUUAAAUUAAACCAAUGCACUUGAUGAAGUCCUAUUGCUUCCCUGCACAACAUGAAGAUCAAUAUUUGUUAACUUCACCAAACGAAAUUUAAAAAACAAAAAUGACUCUUAUAUUAUACCUUUAUGGUUCUUGUGGUUUUUGGAAAAUUAGGGCAGCCCCUUUUGUUGUGCCCAAGAUGUCUGCAAGCACCACAUUUGAUAAUAAACCGUUUAUUAGUUAGUUUGGCCUCACCAAUGUCUUUUGUUCUUUUCUUUUUCGGUCUACCAACUGGAGCCUUUAUGUAAGGUGGUCCAACCUUCACAGGCACCACAACAUCAGGUGAAGGUUCAUCUUCCACUUUAGGCCAUGCACACUCAUAAGGAAUAGGAUUUAUAGUCCCUAUGUAUGUCAUCAUAAAAAAUUCAUUGGUCAGAUAAUGAUGCACAUAAUCUUCACGUUGCCCUCCUUUAUUAAAAAUAGCAGCUACUGAAUGUUUGCAAGGCACUCCACUAACUUGCCACAUCUCACAUUCACACGUACCAUCUAUAAUAUGUACUAGGAAAUUUCUAUAGCCAUCUUGACAACAUUCAAACAACUCCUCUCUACCUCCAAAGACCUUAAUUCUCCUUGUCUCAUUUGAGGAUUGAUUUGGUCUGUCUCUAGCAUAUGGGGUCAAACGGUCUUGCCAAGUUUCCCCUUGUUGAUAUUUUUCCAAUAUUCUCACCAUUAGUUGUCUACGAAUAUGCUCAAGAAUGGUUAGGACAAGCUUGUCCCUAACCUCAUCCACCCACUUAUUAAAAGAGUCAAUCAUGUUGUUUGUAACAUGGUCAAAUUUCACAUGGUGAUCAAACCCGCUUCUAGACCACUGUGCAGAUGGUAUUUUUCUCAACUAUUCACAACAAUUUUAGUCUUUAGCCCUAAUUUGACUCAUUGCCCUCUCAAAGUCAUACUGAUUUACAGCCCUAUAAGCUUUCCAAAAUAACCCCAUGACAUUCAAACCAGGAAACUUACACUUCAAAUUGGCAAAGAUAUGCCUAGCACAAUAUCUAGUACUAGCAUUAGGCUAAUAUUUUUCCAGUCCCUAUAAAAGACCUUUUUGUCUAUCACUAAUAAUAGUCACAUGCCUAUGAUCAUCAUCCCUAAUGAAUUCCUACAGCAAAGAUAAAAAAUAACCCCAACUAUCAUAGUUCUCUGCCUCACAUAUGCAAAAAGCCAGCGGAAAAAUUCCACUAUCAACAUCUAAUGCAACAACAAAUAACAAUACUCCCUUGUAUGGCCCCUUCAAGUGACACUCAUCCAAUCCUAUGAAAGGUCUACACCCAGUUAGGUACCCCACUUUAAGUGUAGGAAAUGACAAAAAAAAAAAAAAACUUUGAAAACCUAGGCUAUUUGACUAUGGCCUAUCAACCUUUACCUUGACACAAGCACCUUUAUUCAUUUUCAUUAGAAUGUGAGCAUAUUUCAAAAGCUUUCCAUAGCAAGUAAUGUGGUCAGCACCUCGGUUUUUUAAUGCAAUUUUUUUGCCCUGUAUAGUUUUUGUUUGUCACAUUCAAUCCCAUGUUUAUCUUUUAACUCACUCCUUAUAACAUUUACACCAACUCCUAGGUUAGUUUGAAUAAGUUCAGCACAACUUUAGCUAUCCAAAGUGCUGUUGCAUCUUUGUUAACUGAUUUAAUAUGGCAAUCAUGUUUCCCUUUAAUAUACCUAACUUUAAAAGUUAUCCCAUCAACCAUCGAUGAAGCAUGAAAUUUCCAAGUUCAUUUUGGAUUGACACAAUAACAAGUAUACUUAACACCAUCAUUUUUAAUCCUAUUUAACUCAAAAUCCUCUUGGAUUGCAUAUUUCACCAUAACCUCUCUUAAUAAUGCAACAGAUUCAAAGGUAUUUCUUACUUUUAGACUAACUGAACCAUUUAGUUUUGGUUUCCACUCAUUAUCAAUAAUGGAUUCAUACAUAUGUGAGAGACCAUUCUCUUCAUCAAAUGAGUGCACUCCGAUAAAGCCAUCCUCACUAAAUUUUUCAAACUUAUCAGUACCCAUACUAACACCUAUAUUGAUAGGACUUUUAGAUCCUAUUACAACACUUUCAUGACAUGAUUGACCACCUAACCCAGUGUGCACCUCAAACUCAAUAACAUGCCAACUAUUAGUAAAGAACUCCUAAAAAACCGAAUACAAUUCACUAUCAUUUGAAAUUAGCUUCCUCUGCCUACUUGUAGUCCAUGGUAACACAACAGAAAUUUCAAUCAAAUCCAUUUCGUUGUGUCCAUAUUUAACCAUGACUUCUAGAAUUUCAUGAAACAACCUAAUACUCUUAUAUUCCUAUGGGUUCCUAUAUCCUAUCUCAUACACUGCCCCAUUAAUUUUAACCAACAAAAAAAAGGUAACAUGGCUACCUGCAUCAAUUUUAAACAAAAGGUAUUGCAUCAAAAAAUGGCUAAACUAAUACAAUUUUAUUUAGCAAAGAAUAAAAAAACUCAACCUAAAUGAAAUAUACAUGUAAUUCAGUUAAAAAAGGUACAAAAGCAAAUUCAAUCUAAUACAUAUAAAAAUAAAAAUUGAAAAGAAAAAAUAACCCAGCAAAUAUAGAGAAUUUAGUCUAAUAUAUAAAAAUUACCACUCAUAAUAACACAUAGAAUUCAAUUUUACAUGAACAAAGAAGCAAAUACAACGAAUUCAAUCUUAUUAAUAUAACGAUACCAAUUAGUUGAAAUGAAAUAUUGUACAUAUACAACAACUCAAGAAAGCAAAUAAAAUAAGCUAAAUAAGUUCAAUAAAUACAUAUAUAAAUAUGGUGUAUUUGUUCUAUUUAUUAUAUAAAGAGCAAAUUAAAAAAAGUAUAUUAAAUACAACAUUCAAUAAAAAAAUCCACCAAUAAUUAAACAUAGUUUGUCAUUUAGAAAAAUAGACUUGAAAAACCUAAUUUUUCACAAAGAUCACUAAAUAUGGAAACAAUUUUUUCAGAAAAUGCUUGCAAAAAUCACUAAAAAAUUAGAGUUACUAACUUUGAAACUCAGGUUCUCUCCAACACUUGAACUCAACCAAUGCUAACAAAUCUUUGGUCAAAAUCACAAUAGAUUUAUACAACAUGUUUUGCGCCAUCCCACGUUCUCUCAAUCUCUCCUCUCACACGAAGAAUACGGCAGUUUCUAUAGUAUUUUUUUUUUUCGUUUGAAAGAACUUUAACUUGGUUAGGUUAAUUGACUUUGCUUUAAACUAUUGCCACCUGUAAGCAAACUAUUGCCACCUGUCAAAAAUAAAAGAAUGAGGAAGGGUUCAAUUGUUCUUUUACUAAAAUGUCCUCAAUGUUGUUAAUAUCUCUAACGGACGAGUUAAGUUAAGGACUUGAAUGACAUUACUUUGUACUUGAAAGGAUUUAAUUGAUUUAUUUAGUAAACUUCUGGUUUUUGAAUUUUUUUCUAAAAAUAAUGAGGGCUUAAUUAAAAAUUACCCUUUAAAUUUUAUAGAUUCUCUGCGAGCGCAGUUAGAAGUACCAAGUUUUGUUAGGUAGAAGGGUAUUUAAGUAAAUCUGCCCACAAUGAAGAAUAGUUCAGAACAGUUGAGGAAGCAUGAGAAUACUUGAGGAAAGCCUGAUAAGAAUUACGGCCGGAUCUGCACCCUUUCCUCUAUAUGUGUCUUCAAUAUAAAUGGCUCAAAUAUAUGCGUUAUGAUCUUUUAAUAUUUCGCCUCUGAUAUUGCCCACAUUGCUUACUGCAACACAUAAAGCACUUCGUUUACCCCAAAUCCUGAUAGGGAAGUAUAAAUAUAUGCUUCCGAAAUAGCGCAACUCUCCAUAAUUAUUUAAUAUGCCUCUCAAUGAAGCAAUCACCUUCAUUUACAACUCUGCGAUUAUUAAUCCUACAUACACGUGUUUCUUUUGUCUCUAAAAGUAUUCUCAAUUAAUUUACAUAAUUUAAUAUAAUAAGUACCUAAGACUAGACAAAUUUUCAUUACAAUAAAAUGAAUAAAUUAUAAUAGUAUUGACACAAUAAUGUCAAUAAUAAAAACUUUAAGAAGCCUAUAAAUUUUAAAAUAUGACUCAGAGUGCUACAAUGAACCACAACAAGUUAUUAUAUGAUCUAUAAUCAAUAUUCUAAUGAUAACAGAGUUCCUCUAUUUUCAAUCCCCUACUUUUCUAUUUAGCGAUUGUCAAAUUUUAUAUCUAAAAUUCUUCUAAUUUUACACUAAGGUUUAUUUUUUUAAAAAAAAAGGGGCAGGAGAAAGAGGCUAGAGAGUAUUAAAAAAUGUCAUUCUAAAUUUUCACUUGAGCGUGGUGUGAUUUUUAUCAUUUUUUAAAAUUGGCCAUUUAUAUUGAGUAAAUAAAAGAAUGAAUAGACGUUUGGACCACUUCUUUUCUGUUAUAAUAAAACAUGAGAUGUCUUCUCUUGAUGCUUUCGUCACAAAAGAAUAUGUUUAUGUCAUCAUAGGCUUAAAUGGGGUAAGUAAAUUAAGAUCGAGGACAAGUUUGUUUAAGCACUAAAGUCGCUAAAUAAAAGAAAGGCUCAUAUAAAAAUUACCUAAAGCACCAAAUAUUGUUAUUCAGCUACUUCUUUUAUGUUACAUUAUUUUCUACGCAAAUUUAUAUAAAUAAUUUAUAACUCCCAUCAUUAUUAAAAAAAAAAAAAACUGUAGCAAUUGUGGUUAUAUCACGUGGUGUGAUUGUUGUGAAAAUUUUAAUAUACUCGCAAGCGCACGAAUCUAGAAAUAGAGUAGUGGUAACGAGGUCGAUCCCACAGGGAUUGAUAAAAAGUCUAAUUUAAAUCUAAAAUUAAUAUUACUCCUAACCUAGUUGAGCAAAUUGAGUUUUUAAGAAAAUUAAACCAAUUAAACUAAGGAAGCAAUUAAAAUAAAAGAGAAUUCAAUAAGAUAGAAAUUACCAAGGUUUCAGAAUCCACCACUAUUCAACUAGUAAUUAUCUAAUUAUUAAUUAAUCCCCAAUUUUAGAGUGACAACUCGAAAUCAAUCUAUGUCAUCUCAUAGAUAUAACAAUUAAGCCCAAGUAAUUAAAUCUAAUGUAGGUUCUUUUUCUGCUUAAUAAUAUGACAUCUAAGCAUCCCAUGUAAACAUAUUGAAUAACAAAGAGUCAAAGUUUUCCUAAGCACUCUAUGUAAACAAUUUAAUGAAAGACAUAAAAUCAAAGAUAAUCAUGUAUAAACUUUAUAGAUCCAAGCAUAGAAUUAAUCGAAUAUUAAUCCUAACAAUCAAUAAUGCAUGACAGAAUUGAUGAAAAGAUUUUAAUAACAUCCAAUUAAUCAUGUGAAAUAAAAACCAUAAUUAUCAAAGAACAUAUAUAGGGAAUUAAUUAAAUAAAAAGAGAUAAUUAUUUCAUUGAAUAGGGUUUCAUCCUUAACCUCAGUAUAAGAGAAUUAGUUAGACAUACUUGAAUUGGGAACAACAAAAAAAAUAAAAUCACCCAUGGAAACCGAACUGCUGCUGCCCAACCUUGCGUCUUGCGUCUGCCGAAUUCUCCUUCUCCUUUCGUUUCUGUCCAGCAGCUCCCUUUUAUAUUGCUUGGCCACGGAAUCCUAUUGUGAUUCUAAUAACUAAACCAACUCUUACAAGCUAAAGCUCUAAGCUUGCCACGUAAUUGAAAACAAUAAAAGCCAAAAGCUAUUGAUUUCCUUCCUUUAUUCUACUUUGACUUUCCAUUCAAAGGCUUAAUUAAAAGCUUUGUUUUUAUGUGCUGCCCACUUUAGCUUUAACUUUCAUCUUUGUUUGCACGAGCAUGGAGAAUUCAAUUUAUUGGAUUCGGCUUCUUCCACAUGCACGUAUGUCUAAUUGGUUCCAAAUCAAUUAAUCUUUAAUGCUUACAAAUUGAACUCCUUUAUGCUCUUUUUAUCCAUAAUCUCCAAUUAAUUCCCUAUUCAAUAAAAUAAUUCAAUUAAUUAAAAAUAACAAAUAAAAAUAACUAGCAAUUAAAUAAUUAAGGGUAAAAUAUGUAUAUAAAUUAUGCUCAUCAAAUACCCCCAAACUUAGAUUUUGCUAGUCCUCGAGCAAAACUAAAAAAAAAAAAAAACAAAAAUAAAAAUAAUGAAACAAAAAGUAAAUCCGAACUAAACCACUUUCGCAGGUAAUCGCGAUUGCAUUUAGCGUAUGCAACAAGCCUUUAAACCCCUAGGCGGCCCUAGUGGACGAGUUAUAGUCUCGUGAGGGCUUCAGUGAUGAUACCCACAAACAUCAUUUUUCAAAGAAUUAAAAUAAAAAUAAAAUGAAAAGAACAACAAGCUUUAAACAAAACAUGAAGAUAGCCUCAAAGAUUGCAUAAAUUAUAUAGCUCAAAGAAAAUUUCAAAUAUUGGCAAAGUUCUAACUUUAAUUCAAUAAUCAAUCCCAUCUCUCUUUCGAUUCUUGUAGUGUGUGUGUGUGAAAUCAAUUCAAUCAAAUCCAUUCCCAAAAUCCUCAAUAUCAAUAGCCUUCGCCUCAAACAAAGAAAAGAGUAGAUCAAACUAAUCUUAUCAUCUUGAUCUCCAAUUUUUUUUUUCAGGCUUUUAUGUGCAUUUUCUUUUGAUUUUUUUUUUUUAGCACAUGCACUUGAUUUUUUUUUCUUUUCCUUUUCUUUUUUUUUUGUUUUUUUUUCUUAACCAUAGUCAGGAGCUUUCACUCUACCCCUUAAGGUAGCCUUCUUCUCAUGGUAGAUUAUCCUCUACAUACUUGUGGUACAUAGGCCCAAAUUACUCAAGGAUAACUUCACUCUUAAGGGUUAUAGGUAGCUAUUUCUGACUUUGGCGCCUGUGUAUACUAAUUUGUAUUGUGGAGAUAAGAAUCAAGACAAACAGUCAUUUACUCUAUCUAAAAUUCUCAACUCAGGCUGUGUCAAUUUCAAAUUUCAAGCCAAAAUUAUAAAAGAACUGAUAUUAGUGCUCAUAGUUUAAAGAAUCUCAAUCAAGAGGAAUUAACACAAGAAUCAAGUAUAAACUAAGACAAUAUUCAACCCUUUCUAAAAACCAUAUUCAUUGUCAAUCAAGUUCUUAUCAUUGGCUUUUCACAUAAAAACAAAAAGAAAAAAAAAAACAAAACAUUUUUUUUUGAAUUUUUUUUAAUAACAAACAAAACACACGCUAUUCCCACCCCUAAAUUUAUUCGGAACAUUGUCCUCAAUGUUUCAUAAACAAAAGAUAUGCAUGCAAACAAAUGAAAGAGAAAUAAUAAUAAUAAUAAUAAUAACAAUAAUAAUAAACAUAAAUAAUAAAAAGAAAGUUGGAGAGAACACACCUGGAUGGGCUGGGAAAGCUUAAAAGAAAAUGCCAAAUGAAAAGAAAACAUUAAAAUAUAUAUAUAUAUUAGAAAAGAAAAUAAAUAAAGAAAAGAAAACCGACUAUUAAAAUAAAACAAGAGUGUAAAGAUGAACUUAAUUAAUCCUGAUAAACAGGAUCAUCUAAAAGUAUCUCCUCAACUUCUGGUGUUUUUAAUUCUAAAAAUGGUUUUAAUCUUUGACCAUUCACCUUAAAUAAAUCACCAUUUUUAGGAUUUUCAAUUUCAAUUGCUCCAUAAGGGAAGAUAGUACGAACUAUAAAAGGAUCAGACCAUCGAGAACGUAACUUACCUGGAAAGAGAUGCAAUCGGGAAUUAUAUAAAAGUACUUUCUGACCUGGUGUAAAGGCUUUUCUCAAAAUAUGUUUGUCAUGAAAGACUUUCAUUCGCUGUUUAUAAAUCUUGGCAUUCUCAUAUGCAUCAUUCCUGAUCUCUUCAAGUUCUGCUAGUUGUAAUCUUCUCUUGGACCCAGCUUGCUGCAUGUCAAAAUUGAAUUUCUUGAUAGCCCAAUAUGCACGAUGCUCCAACUCUACUGGCAGAUGACAUGCUUUUCCAUACACAAGUCGAUAAGGUGACAUCCCAAUUGGUGUUUUAAAAGCAGUUCUAUAUGCCCACAAUGCAUCAUCAAGUCUCAAAGACCAAUCCUUUCUAUCUGGCCUAACUGUUUUCUCUAGAAUCUGCUUGAUCUCUCUAUUAGAAAUCUCUACUUGGCCACUGGUUUGAGGAUGAUAUGGGGUGGCAACCUUAUGUGUAAUGGAAUAUUUGUCCAAAAGAGUUUUGAAAGGUUUAUUACAAAAAUGGGUACCACCAUCACUAAUGAUUGUUCUAGGAAAACCAAAACGAGACAGAAUAUUACUCUUCAAGAAUUUCACUACAACCCUAUGAUCAUUGGUUUUGCAUGGAAUAGCUUCAACCCACUUCGACACAUAGUCCACUGCAACCAAUAUAUAUUGAUAACCAAAAGAUGGAGGGAAAGGUCCCAUGAAAUCAAUACCCCAUACAUCGAAGAUCUCAACCACAAGAAUAGGAUUGAGUGGCAUCAUGUUCCUCUUUGAAAUGCUACCCAUACGUUGGCACCUAUCACACAAAGAACAGAAAACAUAAGCGUCAUGAAAAAGAGUAGGCCAAUAAAAACCACACUGUAAAAUUUUUGUUGCUGUCUUUUUAGCACUAAAGUGGCCUCCGCAAGCUUGUUCAUGGCAAAAUGAGAUAACACUUUGAAUUUCAUUAUCGGGAACACAUCACCUAAUAAUCUGAUCAGCACAAUAUUUAAAUAAAUAGGGAUCAUCCCAAAAGAAGUCUUUCGCUUUAGAUAAGAACUUUGUUCUAUCUUGCUUAGUCCAGUGCUCUGGGAUUUGACCUGUAGCAAGGUAAUUAACUAUAUCAGCAAACCAUGGUACAACAUUUACACUCAUAAGUUGCUCAUCUGGGAAAGACUCAUUCAAAGGUAAAGAUUCUGGAAUAAAUUUAAGAUCAAGGCGAGAUAAAUGAUCCGCCACAACAUUUUCAGAACCUUUUUUAUCUCUAAAUUCAAUGUCAAAUUCUUGUAAAAGCAACACCCAACGAAUCAAUCUUGCCUUAGCAUCUUUCUUAGUAAACAAAUAUUUUAAAGCAGCAUGAUCAGUAAAAAUAAUCACUUUACAACCUAUAAGAUAAGAUCUGAAUUUAUCAAGUGCAAAUACCACAGCUAGCAUUUCUUUUUCUAUAAUUGAAUAGUUCAACUGUGCAUCAUUGAGUGUCAUACUAGCAUAAUAAAUCACAUAAGGCACACGAUCUAAUCUUUGUCCUAAAACUGCUCCUACAGCAUAAUCAGAUGCAUCACACAUAAUUUCAAAAGGCAAAUCCCAAUUAGGUGGCUGAAUGAUAGGUGAAGAAGUCAAUAAUUUCUUAAGGUUUGCAAAAGCAUCAAGACAAGAUUCAUCAAAGAUAAAAGGUGCAUCCUUAACAAGUAAAUUGCAUAAGGGUCUAGAAAUUUUACUAAAAUCUUUAAUGAAUCUUCUAUAAAAACCAGCAUGUCCAAGGAAAGAUCUUACUUCUUUUACGGAUUUGGGAUGUGGAAGAUUAGAAAUUAAAUCCACCUUAGCUUUGUCGACUUCUAUACCUUUGCUAGAAAUUAUAUGACCAAGAACAAUACCUUGUUUUACCAUGAAGUGACACUUUUCCCAAUUUAGAACCAAGUUCUUUUCUUUACAUCUCUGCAAAACUAAUGUUAGAUGCUGCAAACAUUCAUCAAAAGAAUCUCCAUAAACAGAAAAAUCAUCCAUGAAUACUUCAAGAAAUCUCUCAACCAUAUCAGAAAAAAUACUAAGCAUGCAUCUUUGAAAAGUAGCAGGUGCAUUGCAUAAACCAAAUGGCAUUCUCCUAUAUGCAAAAGUUCCAAAUGGACAAGUAAAAGUAGUUUUCUCCUGGUCCUCUGGAGCUAUAGGGAUCUGAUUAUAACCUGAAUAUCCAUCUAGAAAACAAUAAAAAUCAUGACCUGCAAGUCUAUCAAGCAUUUGAUCAAUAAAUGGAAGAGGAAAAUGAUCUUUUCUUGUGAAUGAAUUUAAUUUUCUAUAAUCAAUGCAAACACGCCAACCUGUAGUUACUCUAGUGGGAAUUAAUUCAUUAUUAGCAUUAGUAACUACUGUAACACCAGAUUUCUUAGGAACAACUUGCACAGGGCUAACCCAAGAGCUAUCUGAAAUAGGAUAAAUAAUUCCUGCAUCUAAUAAUUUGAUUACUUCAGCUCUUACCACUUCUUUCAUGUUAGGAUUUAGCCUACGUUGCAUUUCCCUAAUAGGUUUAGCAUUUUCUUCAAGAUGAAUACGAUGCAUGCAAUCUACUGGAUUAAUACCUUUAAUAUCAGCGAUGGUCCAUCCUAUUGCCUCCUUAUGCUCUUUUAGAAUAUCUAACAAUUUACCUUUUUGCUCAAGAUCGAGGGAAGAAGAAAUAAUAACAGGUAGAGUGUCAGAUUCUCCCAAGAAUGCAUAUUCCAGAGUGUCAGGCAGUGCUUUGAGUUCCAAUUUUGGUGGUGCCUCCGCAGAUGGGCCAAUUUUCUUCUCAGAAUGAGGCAGUAGUUCUGACUUUGUCUUCCAUUUAAUUGUGUCCGUAAUUAGAGGUGCAUCAAGUAAAGCGUUGAUUUCUGCAAUUGCACUGUCAUCAUUAAAAGAUAAAUCAGAAUGAGUUAGACAUGCCUCUAAUGGAUCAUCAUUAUGGUUAGAAAUGAAUGAAUCUUCUACUAAUUCCUCUAUCAUAUUCGCUUCAACAAAUUCAUCUUCUUCUUGUGGCUGCUUGGUAACAUUAAAAAUAUUCAAUUCCAUGGUCAUAUUACCAAAAGAUAACUUCAUGUUUCCAUUCCUGCAAUUAAUAAGAGCAUCAGCUGUAGCUAAGAAAAGGACGACCUAGAAUAACUGGGGUGUGUUUCUUAGGAUCAUGUACAUGCUGAAUAUCAAUAACAAUAAAAUCAACAGGAUAAUAAAAUUUAUCAAUCUGUAUCAACACAUCCUCUAUAAUACCACGAGGUAUUUUCAUUGAUCUAUCAGCAAGUUGCAAAAUAAUAGGAGUUGAUUUUAACUCACCUAAUCCAAGUUGCAUGUAAACAGAAUAAGGCAAGAGAUUAACACUAGCACCCAAAUCCAAUAAUGCUUUAUCAAAACAUUGGUUUCCUAUAACACAUGAGAUAGUAGGAGAACCUGGAUCCUUAAAUUUUGGUGGCAUUUUACAUUGGAGUAAGUUGCUAGUUUGUUCAGUUAAAAAUGCCUUUUUAGUGACAUGUAAAUUUCUCUUUUUCGUGCAUAAAUCUUUUAAAAACUUUGCAUAUGAAGGAACUUGCUUAAUAGCAUCGAGUAAAGGGAUGUUUAUACUUACCUGUUUGAAUAUUUCCAUAAUCUCACCUGUUGAAGUCCCUUUCUUUACCUUUGUUAACCUUUGAGGAAAAGGAGCCUUGCGAAUGUAAGCUGGCGGGCCACUCUCUUCUGGAUCAUUUGUUGAUGAGUCUUGUGAUGGAACUGGAUCUGAAGAAGUAGGCUCAGAUGUCUUCCUUGUUUGAACCUCUACUUUGUUGUCAAAUAAUUUUCCUCUUCUCAAGGUCAUAAUAGAUUUUGCUUCUUCAUGCUGAUGGCUCGAACUCGAUCCAACUUCAUGCACUCCUUUAGGAUUGGGAAUUGAUUGACUUGGGAAUUUUCCUUUUUCUCUCUCAGCUACAGUAGUUGCUAAUUGACCCAAUUGAUGUUCAAGUUUUAGAAUAGCUUGAGUGUUUGACUGAAAAGCUUGUUGGGUUGACUGAAUGAAACUUUGAAGUGUAUCCUCUAAAGAAGGCUUUCUUUGUUGGGGUGCAACAAAUUGAGACAUAGGUUGUUGGGCAUGAGGAUGUACUUGGUUAGGAGGGACAAAUUGUUGAUUGGGCAUGUUAAAUUGUUGCCCUCCUUGGUUUGACAAAGGUUGAUUUUGUUUCCAAGAAAAAUUAGGGUGAUUCCUCCAAUUAGGAUUAUAUGUGGAUGAAUAUGGACUAUUGGAGGUUUUCUCAUAUGAUUGUAAGGCAUGUACCUGCUCAGAAUAAGCAUCUGGAUAGACUGGUAAUGAUGGACAAUUUUGUGCUGUAUGAGACAAGUUAGAACAAAUAGCACAAACCUCAUUAGCUACACUAGGAUGAUGAUUUAUGGAUUGGUUCAUAACUAAGGCAUCUACUUUCCUAGAAAGUGUAGCUAGAGUGGAUUUCAUAUCUAAAUCAUCCUUAACUUCAUAUAGCCCCUUUCUAGAAACUUGAGAUGAUUUUUCCCUUUGAUUUGAAAAAUCCCACUGUUGAGAAUUUUCAGAAAGUGAAUUAACGAAAUCCCAUGCUGCCCCUUCAUGUAAGUUCAAAAAUCUCCCACCAUUCAUAGAUUCCACCAUAUGACGAUUCGACAUGGUUAAACCGUUAUAAAAGCAUUGUAUAAGUCUCCAUUUCUCAAAACCAUGAUGGGGACACUUAAGGAGUAAAUCAUUAAAUCUUUCCCAACACUCAUAAAAUUGCUCACCAUCUCUUUGAUAAAAAUCACUUAUCUCUCUCCUAAGGGCAUUUGUUUUAGACAUAGGGAAAAACUUGGUGAGAAACUUAUUACUCAAUUCAUCCCACGUAGUAAUAGACCCAGCAGGAAGUGAAUUCAACCAAGCUUUUGCUUUGUCUUUUAAUGAGAAAGGGAACAUACGAAGCCUAAUUGACUCAUCAUUAAAAUUUUGAAAACGAAAUGUAGAGCAUAUGUCAAGAAAUUCCUUAAUGUGCAAAUAUGGAUCCUCUCUCUCUAACCCAUGGAAGGAUGGCAAAAGUUGAAUGACAGAGGGCUUAAGUUCAAAGUGUGUUGCUGUAGUUUGUGGCAACACAAUACAAGAUGGUUGGUUGGCUGCAAGUGGUGAAAAAUAUUCUCUAAGGGUUUUCUCUGCUUGCACUGGUGGGAGUAUUGGCAAUAGUCUAUUUGGGUCAUCCAUCACUUCUAAAGAACUAGUUUGACUACUAUCAAUUUUUGACUCUCUUUUAACCAAACGAUUUGUUGAAUCACGUUCCCAAACACUCAUAAACUAACUAGACAAGGAAAGAAAGAGAAAUAAAAUAAAAUAAACCAACAAAAAUGAGAAUAAACGAAAUUUAAAAAUAAAAGAAAUCAAACAACCAAACAAUGAAUUUAAAAUAAAAUAAAAUUAAAAUUAAAAUUAAAAGUUUUUUUUUGUGUUUUUUUUUAAAAAUAAAAAUUGAAUAAAUAAAAUAAAAGACAACCUAAAUUAUAACUAGUGGAAGAAUCAAAUUAACCUAGAUUAAACUGACUUUCUAGCACAAUCCCCGGCAACGGCGCCAAAAACUUGAUGUGAAAAUUUUAAUAUACUCGCAAGCGCACGAAUCUAGAAAUAGAGUAGUGGUAACGAGGUCGAUCCCACAGGGAUUGAUAAAAAGUCUAAUUUAAAUCUAAAAUUAAUAUUACUCCUAACCUAGUUGAGCAAAUUGAGUUUUUAAGAAAAUUAAACCAAUUAAACUAAGGAAGCAAUUAAAAUAAAAGAGAAUUCAAUAAGAUAGAAAUUACCAAGGUUUCAGAAUCCACCACUAUUCAACUAGUAAUUAUCUAAUUAUUAAUUAAUCCCCAAUUUUAGAGUGACAACUCGAAAUCAAUCUAUGUCAUCUCAUAGAUAUAACAAUUAAGCCCAAGUAAUUAAAUCUAAUGUAGGUUCUUUUUCUGCUUAAUAAUAUGACAUCUAAGCAUCCCAUGUAAACAUAUUGAAUAACAAAGAGUCAAAGUUUUCCUAAGCACUCUAUGUAAACAAUUUAAUGAAAGACAUAAAAUCAAAGAUAAUCAUGUAUAAACUUUAUAGAUCCAAGCAUAGAAUUAAUCGAAUAUUAAUCCUAACAAUCAAUAAUGCAUGACAGAAUUGAUGAAAAGAUUUUAAUAACAUCCAAUUAAUCAUGUGAAAUAAAAACCAUAAUUAUCAAAGAACAUAUAUAGGGAAUUAAUUAAAUAAAAAGAGAUAAUUAUUUCAUUGAAUAGGGUUUCAUCCUUAACCUCAGUAUAAGAGAAUUAGUUAGACAUACUUGAAUUGGGAACAACAAAAAAAAUAAAAUCACCCAUGGAAACCGAACUGCUGCUGCCCAACCUUGCGUCUUGCGUCUGCCGAAUUCUCCUUCUCCUUUCGUUUCUGUCCAGCAGCUCCCUUUUAUAUUGCUUGGCCACGGAAUCCUAUUGUGAUUCUAAUAACUAAACCAACUCUUACAAGCUAAAGCUCUAAGCUUGCCACGUAAUUGAAAACAAUAAAAGCCAAAAGCUAUUGAUUUCCUUCCUUUAUUCUACUUUGACUUUCCAUUCAAAGGCUUAAUUAAAAGCUUUGUUUUUAUGUGCUGCCCACUUUAGCUUUAACUUUCAUCUUUGUUUGCACGAGCAUGGAGAAUUCAAUUUAUUGGAUUCGGCUUCUUCCACAUGCACGUAUGUCUAAUUGGUUCCAAAUCAAUUAAUCUUUAAUGCUUACAAAUUGAACUCCUUUAUGCUCUUUUUAUCCAUAAUCUCCAAUUAAUUCCCUAUUCAAUAAAAUAAUUCAAUUAAUUAAAAAUAACAAAUAAAAAUAACUAGCAAUUAAAUAAUUAAGGGUAAAAUAUGUAUAUAAAUUAUGCUCAUCAGUGAUCUUUUGACAAUUCUCCCACAUCCCACCAAAAACUCUCACGCGGCAUGAACUUUUGACAAUUCUCCCAUAUCCCACCAAAAAUUUGUCAUAUUGCGAAAGGCAAUGUCAAUUGCAAUGUCAUUUCCAUUAGUCAUUGUGGCAGACAAUGGAGGUCCCGAGAUAGGACUAGAAGUUUUUGAAACCCUGAACUUAUUCUUACUUUAUUUUUUCUUUUGAAAAUGAGAAAAGGACACUUGUUUGAGGAAAUAAUUUUGUAGAACCUCAUAUCGUGAAUAGGGGAUAAUAAGACUUUUUUUUUUUUACUUUACUGCAAUACUCUGUAAUUUUAUUAAUUUUAUAUUUUAUAAUAAAUAUAAAUGUGAUAUUAAAAUAAAUGUAAUAAUAUAUACAUAUUAAAAUAAUUUGAUAUUGAAAAACAUUUUAAUAUUUUACAAUCCCAUAUUAUAUUAAACCAAACUGUAAUAAAUAGACAUAAUAUUAAAAUAAAUAUAUAAAAGUUUAAAUUAUUUUGAAUAUCAUAUAAAAUAAUUUUAAUAUUAUUAAUAAAUUAGAAGUAUUGUUGAGGUUAUGGGGCCCCAACAAUUCUUCUUUGCGCUUGUGGGUGUAACAUCCUUCUGUGUAAUUCCAUUGAGGUGGCAGUAAGGUUACCUAGGGCGUAACUGCCCGGCCCAUUGGCACAAUUACAAAUGUGUGCAGCCCCUCAUGUCCAUCCACCGCUUAGUGUGGGGCUCUGCGCUUCCAUUGUAUAAGAAAAUAAAGUUGCACCUUGGCUAUCAGCUUAAGCUUUUAGCCCAAUGGUAAGCGCUUGAUCCUAACAAGUAUUACAUUAAUUGUAAAAUCUAUCUAAUCCAAGGAUUUAUUUAAAUUUUUUAUAAUAAAUUAAAAAUAUAUUAAUUAACAUUUUAAAAAUUAAUAAUGAAAUUAAUUAUAUAAGUUAUACAUAUUAGUCUACUAGAAAAAUUUAAACUAUUUCAAUCAGAUUUAUAUUUAGUGAAAAUUUUUGAAGUUAAUGUUUUUGGUUAUCAUCUACUAAGAAUCUUGUAGUUAAAAGGGGUAUUGACAUUCUUUAUUAAAAAAUUGAGGUCUACAUGACUAUUUUUUAAAUUUUAAGGGUGUCAUUUUAUUUUUGAUGAAAAUAAAAUUUCAUUUAAGUGGCUAAAAUGGUGAAUAAUACAAUGUUACAACUGGCAUAAAUGGAAGGUAGGAAACAAUCAAAAUGACCAAUAGUCUAACGCCACAGCAAGGACAUAAGGUCAAAAAUCCCCUUAUUAAUUAGUAAAAGAGAGUCCUUUGUGCUUAUAAAUAGUAAGGGCGGGCAAAAUCGGAUACAGAUCAAAUUCGGAUUAAUCUGAUAAAUUUCAGAUUGUUUGAAUUGAUAAAAAAAGUCAUCCAAAUGUAAUCUAAACUUUUGUAUGUGUAUAUAUACAUACUUGUUAUAAAUUAAAGUUGCAAAAGUCUUUAAGCAAGGCCAUUCAUAGUAAGUUUCAAAUUUUUAGGUUAAUUAUGUAACUUCAUUAUGCGGGCCAUGCAUAAAGCCCGUAGGUCUAGGCGGGACUGACCUGAGUUUUUUUACCAAUCCUACACAUGACGGGAGGUGUUAGGAAUAACAUCCCGCAUCAAUUGAGUAUUGAACUUGGGUUCAGUAUAUAAGAUUUGGACAACUCUAAACUCUUGAGCUAACUUACUAGUUUUUGGAUUGAGUUAAGCCUGUACGCUGCAAUAUUACAAAUUAGUCUUUCGUUACCAUUACUUAUUUUUUGUAUUGUUUAAAAUUAACACAAUAAAUGACCUUUCAUCCCAAAAGAACUAAAGUAAUCAUUUCGCAUUGUUACGGCCGUAUCUACACUCUUUCCUCUAUAUGUGUCUUCAAUAAAUAUAUGCGUUAAUGAUCUCUCAAUAUUUCGCAUCCGAUAUUGCCCACAUCGCUUACCACAAUAUAUUCACUUUACAAACAGAGUUUGCAACCCAAUUACUAAUAGAGGAAUAUAAAUAUGUACUUGUCAAUGAAGCAAUCACCUUUAUUUAGAAAUUUUUUAUUAUUAAUCCUACGUACACACACUUCUUUUGUCUCCAAAAAUAUUCUUAAUUAAUCCACACAAUUUAAUAUAAUAAAUACCUAAGAUUACAUAAAUUUUCAUUACAAUAGAAUAUAUAAUUUAUAAUAUUAUUGAUACAAUGAUGCCAAUAAUAAAAAUCUUAUAAACCUUACAAAUUUUAGAAAAUGGCUUAGAGUGUGAUAGGUUGAAUGAACCACAACAAAUCAUUUUCAUUAUAGUACCUAUGAUCAAUAUUCUAAUACAAAUUUUACAUUUCCCUAUAUUUUCUGUUUGGUGAUUGUCAAAUUUUAAGUCUAAAAUUUUUCUAAUUUUACCGUGAGGUUUAUGUUUUAAAGAGAGAGAGAGAGAGAGAGAGAGACUCAAAGAGAAAUAAAAAAUGUAAUUCUAAAAUUUUACUUGUGCAUUGUGUGAUUUUUACCAUUUUUGCAGUUGGCCAUUUGUAUUGAAUAAAUAAAAUAAUAAAUAGACUUAUGGACCACUUUUUUCUGUUAUAAUAAACAUCAGAGGUCCUUUCUUGAUGUUUUCAUUCCAUAUGAAUAUAUUAUAAUUUUAUUGAUACAGUAAUGUCAAUAAUAAAAAUCCUAACAAACAUACAAAUUUUAGAAUAUGGAUUAAAGUGUUACAAGUUGAGGGGAUCACAAGUUAUUUAUACUGUAAUGUCUAUGAUCAGUAUUUCAAUGAUAUCAAGGUUUCCCCUGCAAUUUUUGUUUGGUCAUCGCCAAAUUUUGUAUCUAAGAUUUUUCUAAUUUUACACGACAUUUAUUUAAAAAAAGAAAAAGAGAAAGAGAGACGCGGAGAGAAUUAAAAAUGUAAGUCUAAAUUUUCGCUUGUGUGUUAUGUGAAUUUUACCAUUUUUAAAGUUGGCCAUUUGUAUUGAAUAAAAAAGUAAUUGUUGAAUCUGGUUCGUUAGCUAUUCUUUGAUCAAGAACCAGAUCCUCCCAAGAUUCUCAGCCAAGAUUAAUCAGGAUGCAAUAUCAGCUUAGAUCAACUUCAGAGAAUCAACUAAACCCAAUAAGACUCGUAACAAAAAGGAUUAAUUACAAACUUAGAAACCAAAACCAGCAAGAAAACCAAUCACACAAAACAGAGCACAAGCUUUAACGUGGUUCAGCCAUUAAUGGCUUACAUCCACGAGUGAAUUCCUCAGACAGCUUUAUUGAAUGAUUCAAGAAGUUUGUUACAGAGAUUCUAAGAACAAGAACAAGUAAGACACUUCCUCUUUGAUUUCCCUCAAUCUCUAUCACGCACGAUUACCUCCAAACCAGAAGGCUGCAGCUUAUAUACCAGUCUUGUAACAGCUCUAACAACCCAGAUUGCACAGCUCCUUGACACGUGUACUAUGGGUCUGUUAUUUAACGAACUCAGCUUCAGCUAACUAUCACGUGAAGAACCCGUGACUCCACUUAAGUUGAGCAUAUCCAAAACGCACUCAUGUGUUGCCGUUUCGGAACCAGGAUUGGUUGUGCUUCUCACGUGAUCACUUAAAGCUUCUGAACACUACUGGAAACGCUGUCGUUUGCUGGCAAAGGUGUUUGAAUUCACCUUUCAGCCAACAGUAAUGAAUAGACUUAUGGACAACUUUUUUCUAUUAUAAUAAAACAUUUUCUUCCCCUGAUGUUUUUCAUUCCACAAGAAUGUGUUUGUCAUAAGGGGUCCAAAUGGGGUAAAUAAAUUGGGAUCAAGGACAAGUCUGUUUAAGUGUUGAAAUUGCAAGAAGACCUCAUUAAAAAAUUGCCUAAAGCCCCAUUAUUGUUAUUCAACUAUUACUUUCAUGUCACAUUAGUUUCCACACAGACACUUAUACAAAUAAUUUAUAACUCCAUCUUUAUUUGGGAAAAAACUGUAGCAAUUGUUGUUAUAUCACAGGAAAAUUUUCCAAUUAAAAAUAUAAUAAGAAUUAAUUACAAAUUUUUUAAUAAAUAUCAAUAUAAUUUAAUGGUUUAAUUUUUUUGGUAGAUCAAUAUAAUUUAAAAAAUUAAUAGCAGUAUUACUUUUUAAAAUGCAAAUUAUUAUAAUUAUAUUAAUAAUAUAUUUGUAUUUAUUAUAAAAUUUAUUUUAAUAAAAUCUUAAUUUUUUUUAAAUAUUUGUAUAUAUUGUUAUAUUUUGUUAUAAUAUUAUAUUUAUAUUUAUUAAAAUAUAAGAGUCAAUAUUUUUAAAUUAAUUAAGAUAAAAAGUAUUAUAAUAAAAAAAAAUUCUUUUAUUAAAAAUAUAAUCAUUCUCCCAAACUUAUCCUUGUCCCUUUUUGAAAGGAAAAAAUAAAUUAGAAAAGUCUAUGGUCAUGAUAACAUCUAGCCUUGUCCCGUGGGACAUGGCUACGGUGCAGAAGCUGCAAGUAACAGCUUCGAGCUUUCCCAUUUCCAUCACCUUGUAUUGGGACCUCUUUCUCUCUCCUCUAGCACCCGUGGAAGUUCCCCAUUGGCCGCUGUUACUUACAGAAGCCGUAACAUAGACUUCCCCCGUCCCGUGAUGUCCAUUGUCUGCCACUAUGAAUAAUGGCAAUGACAUUGCAAUUGAAACAUUGAAAAGGUAUUUUCGCAAUAUGACAAAGUUUUUGUUAGGAUAUGGGAGGAUGUCAAAAGUUCACACUACGUUCAUUAGCAUUAGAUCUAAUUUUAUUUCGUCAGUUCCUUAUAUAUUUAUUUCAUUUAUUUCAUGGGUCCCUCUAUGAUGCUGUAAUUAUUUUACAGCAUCAAUAGUGUAAGCAAUAUUAACCAUUAGAUUUUAUCAACAAUGUAUAUUAUAUUUAUUAAUAAAAAAAUAACAUAACCGGUUAACAGGGGUGAGCUGUUGGAUCGUGGAGUUGGUAGAAGUAUGCGAAAUUUCAAUGACGACCCCUACAGUUUUAAAAAUUCUCACAUGUUUCACUUGAAUAGCAUAUUCAGAAGAAUAACACAAAAUUUAAUAAAAUAUAUGAUUUCAAUGAAAUAUAUGAACAUGCAUAUGAAACCCACAUUCAUAGAAAUGUUUCAUUAGACUUUUAACGUUUAUCUUACCUAUGUAUCCUAAACCAUUCAUUAUCAACUUUUCGUAAUUUUAUUAAAUAGAAAUUUCAAGCAAAACAAGAAAGAGUGACAAUAUGUAAUUAAUUUGAAGAUUUAAUAUAAAACUCACAAUUGCUAAAAUAGUGCUUAAAUUAUAUCAUUAAUGUUAUAAGAUAAUUUGAUUAUCAUGUAACCAAACUAAUUUCAAAAUUUAUUUUGAAAGCAUGCAAAACUAAUUUCAAAAUCUAUUUUGAGAGCAUGCAAAUGGAUGUAGUCUCCACUAUGUGAUUUUUUUAUUCUAAUUUAUGGCCAUGGGAGAGAAUUGGAAGAUCCAUAUUUGUCCAAUAGUGAAAUAUAAAUAAUAGCCCGUCAAUUUCUCAUGUAGUAUAUUUCAUUGGCUUAUUAGCUUACAAAACUAUAUACAAGUGUUAAACAUUGGACUACUGCAUGAAAUGUCAUGUGAUAUAUUUCAUUUGACCUUAGAUUAAUUAAAUGCCUAUAAAUGGUUUACAACAUUAAUCUAAAAAUUAAUUUUCACUGAUAUUUAUAUGUGACAUAUCAAUUCAUAAUAUAUCAGGGUAAUUACGAUUUUAAUUUCCCUUCUAUUAAUAAAUAGGGGUAGAAAGAAGUACUCAAUAUGUGUGUGUGUGUGUGUGGGGGUAUCAAUUCAUGUCUUAAUGAAUACAAGAAAAAUCACAUCUACUAAUUUAACAUAUGCCUUUCUAUAAUAGUGUUUGUAAAAUAUAUUUUAUUUGCUAUACUUUGGAAGACGUGUAGUAUAUUAUUUUAUAAUUCGUUUUGUAAUUUACAGAAAACGUGUUUAACAUGUUUUAACUUUUAUUACUAUCAAAUAGAUUCUGUUUAAUACAUUUUAUAAUUUGAUUUAAGGUUUAGGCUCACCAAACAUACAUUACACCUAUACUAUUAAAAUGAAAAUGAAAAUCGGGGCUACAAAAUGAUACUGAACAUACCCUAAGUUACUUGGAGUGUUAGUUUAGAAAUAAGUAUCACUGUAGGCUUAAAUUUAUGGAACAACUUUUCAGGACUGUUGGUCUUCCUCCAUUAGCUUAAUUUAGGUCUGUAUUUUCAUUUUUUUUUAAAUGGCGCAAGAUGAUGAUGAUGAUGAAAUUGUGCUAUUUGUAAUGAUGCUCCUUCGUAUUCAAUAAGAAUCAUAUGCAUAUUCAAUAGUGAAAAUAUGAUAACUCUAUCGUAAUUUGAUCAUAUUACAAUACAAUUGAUUACUAAAAAAUGUCUUUAUAUUUUUUUAUUACAUUUUACAUUAAAGUUGUAGCACAUUAUAAAUGCAAAGCUUAAUGUUUAAUAACAUAACACUUCAACAAAAUCAACAUCUUAAGUAUGAUGUAUGAUAUAGAAUAUUGAAAUAGUUAUACCUAACACUCACAACAAUUUAUAAAAAUUUAUAGUGUUUUAUUUACAAUAUCUUUUCUAAUUAUAUAUGUAUUAAUAUCUAUCUUAAAGUCAAUUUUUGGAUUAGUAGAUUUUAAUAAAUCCAUUGGUAUAGAUUAAUAAUAACUUAAUAUUAAAAAAAUUAAUUAUACAUGUUAUUUUAUUAAUUACACUUAUUUUAAUAUUUUAUUUGUAUCAUAUGAUAUUUAUUAUUAUUUUUAUCCUAUUACUAUAUGUAUAUUUAUUUAGGUUGUGUAAAUCAAAACGUAUAAUAGUCAUUUAUGAAAAUUAAGGGGUCUGUAUUACCAUUUAUGAAACUAAGUGGAUCUAUAUGACUAUUUGAGCAAACCUUGGGAUGUGUGUGGCUUUUUCUCAAAUUAAUAUUAAUUUAAAAUUAAAAAAAUAUUUACCAACAACUUGUAGACUACGUGCUACAUUUUCAUUAAUGAUUUAAUUAUCCAUUAUAUUAAAUGGAUGAUUGAGAUUAAAAUACUUAAAACUAAUAGUCCACAUUAAUCCCAGUAUCAAUAUUGUAAAAAUACAUACAGUAUCAUAAAGAAAUCCUUAUUUCAUACAUAACUGUUUUUUUUCUUUGGUUUUUCUUUUUCCAAAACAUAAAUAGACCAAGCACAUCUCCAAAUCGGGUUGGAGCGGAGAUUCUAACCCUACGAUGGCCAUAUUAAAAUUUAAAUUUUUUUAAUUUAUUUUUUUCUUUUAUAGCUACAUCUCAAUAUUUGAAAAAAUGAUUAUACAGAUCUAUAUAUUUUUAAUAAGAGAUAUUAAGAUGCUCUUUUUUUACUAUAACACCUACUAGUUCUAUUAACUCAAAAAAUUACCAACAAAGUGUUGGCUCCACUGGCAAUGGAGUCCCCUUAAGUGGCUUGACUGGGUUUGCUCUCCAGUUCGAGUCGCAGGGAAGUCGCCUUUGUUGGGAGAACAUGUGUCUCCCGGUUUGAGCGGGGACUUCUAGUCUGGGUUGUGGUACGGGCUUAAAGGUGCUUCCCACAGUUGGGGCCCUCCCCAGGAUACCUCGUGGAUAAGACCAAAAAAAAAAACUCAAAAAAUUGACUUCAAUAUUAAUACAUAUAUUUUAAAAUUAUUUUAAUAUUUUUAAAAAAUAUGAAAAAAAAUUUAAUACUUUACAAACUUAUACUAUAUUAAACUAAAUUUUAUAAUAAAUAGAAACUUAAUAUGAAAAUAAACGUCUAAAAAUUUAAAUUAUUUUCAAUAGCAUAUAGAAUAAUUAUAAUAUUAUUAAUACCUAAGAUAUAUUAUAUUAAUUAUAAAUUCUAUUUAACACAAAUAUUUAACUAAAACUGUUAAUUGCAAUUUCUUUUGAAAACAAUAGAUCAAAUCAUUAAAGUGCAUGUGAUGAUGAUUUGCUGUUUAAUUAUUUCUUUAGAAUAUAUCCAAACGUAAGGUUGUGAACUAGUGCUUUCUUCAACUUAAUUGGGUCCAACAAUACACCGCAGCUUCCUCUUUUGGUCAUUCCAAGUUUAAUUCUUAUGAAAGAAGUUACUACUGAUUUAAGUGCAUGUGAAUGAAAAAAAACAAAUACAUAUAAUUAUUCUAUACAUGCGUCAACAAGGCAACAGUAACCAAAUAAAUGAUAUGAAAGGGGGUGCAUGAUUAAGUCCUUUUCUUAUUCAAUUCAUUGUUAUUAUCCUCAUCAACUCUUUUCUCACUUAUUUUUCAGCAGUUACUGUUCAUAGCAUUGUUAUUAUUCUCAUCACUCAUUAAAAUUAUUCUUAAAUAUUCAAGGCCGAAAAGAGAAGCUCAUCAACUGUCUGAUCCCGGAUAAUUAAAGAGGUGAACUUGUUCUAAAUCCUUUGAUAAUUUCUAUUAAUAGCAUAAUCUCCUUGAUCCAAGAAAAAACAUCUCCUGUUUGUCUUAAUCUUGUCAUUUAAUUUUCUUGAUUUAGGUUACUGUUCAUUGUUAACUUCUGUGUUCUUUAGCAUUUGUUAAUUUGCAUCCCUCCUCUAAAAGUCUCUAAAAAAGAAUGUUGCUUUUCAUUCAUACCCUUGAAACCUUUCAGUUAAUAGCCAAAACUCUAAUCUUUCUUUCUCUUCCUCUCAAAAAUGUGCCAAAAAAUGUGCCAAAAAAGUGAAUCCAAUUUUUUCAACAGCAAAUAUAUAUGUACACACACACACAUAUUGUUAAAAAGUGCAGAAAAGCCACUCAAAAACGUGGAGAAAAAUCACUCAAAUUUAUACAAGCGUCAACAGGGAAACAGUAACCAAAUACGUGAUACAAAAAGGGGUGAAUGAUUCUGUCUUUUCCUUUUGCAAGUCGCUGUUAUUACUCUCAUCAACUCCUUUCUCACGCAUUUCUCAGCAGUUACCAGUAAUAUUUAAAAUCGCUGUGUAGGUAUGCAAAAGUUCGGUAAGUGCACUAAUAAUUAUUUGCCAGAAAAAAAGUAGUUGCGUCAAUGAUAUAUUAAUCUUUAGUUGAAUUGACAUCCAGGAACCCAAUUGAGUUGCUUAAUGAUUAAUUAAUUAAUCAAUUUAUAAUAUAUUAAUCUUUUUAGUUGAAUACUUAAAAUCUUAGACCCUAAACAAUAAAUUAUUUGAGCCAUAUAAAAGAGAAAUUAUCAUUCAAUUUUUUUUUAUUUGUAGCUUAUAAAAGAGAAAUUAUCAGUCAUUUACUCAAAGUUUAUUCAAUUAUUAAAAUUAUUAUAAAAAUUUAAAUUUAUUUAAUUUUACACCCAAUGUAUGUAAUUUGUAUUAAAUAUCCGUUAAAAACAUAAAGUUAUUCUUUCAAAGUCACAAAAUAGGAGCGAACACAAAAUUGUAGUGGUGAUUAUGUUUUGGGAGUAACUUUAUCUUUUUAGUAAACAGUUGAUACACAUUGUAAUAAUGGGUAUAAAAUUAAAUAUAUUUAAAUUUUUAUAACUUUUUGGAAAAUAAGAUAAUUCUUAGGUGGAUAAUUAAAAAUUUUUCUUUUCAAAAUAUUUUGAAAACAAUACCAAAUGUACCAUAUCAUUGUUUAUUUACACUAUAUAUAUAUAUAUAUUAACUCAUUCUUAUCCACAAUCUGUCAAUGAAAUAAUUAUUGACACUCAUAUUUGAAAACUUUCGAAAAGAUAAAAUCCAAUAUGAAAGGUGAAACGUUAUAAUCAUAGUAACUAGAAAAUGGAUUGAUUUACAAAUAUCAAUUUAAACAAUUUUCAAGUUGAUCGACAAUUUAAGUAGAUUGACAAAGAUUGAAGUAAUUACUGUUGGUGAUUGAUUGACUUUGUCCUUAUCCUCGCCGCCUUCUUAUCAAAAGUCGAGUGUCAAUUGGGCCAGGGCUUCUGAUUGCAACUAAUAGACUUCAUAUACGCAUAAUGGUCCCUACGUACAUACGUACCAAUAUUUGAUUGAAAAAGGGAUGCGUGCUUAAUGCUCAAGUCGUCUUCUUUUGGAAAUUCAUUGUUAUUACUCUCAUCAACUCGUUACUCGCAUUCCUCUUUAGUCAACAGAGAUCCUUUUGCUCAAUAAAAUUUUUCUUCUAUAUUCAAGGUGAAUACAGCAGCUCAUCAACUCUGAUCCCAGACAGGUAAAGAGGUGCACUUGUUCUAAGACCUUUAAUAUUCUUUUAGUAGCAGAAUCUCUGAUACUUGAUCUUCAUAGCGGUUCUUUCUUAAUUUGCAUCAACUUUCCUAGGAAAAAAUUCUCUGGUUUUUCUUAAGUCAUAUAAUUUAUUUUUCUUAAGUCAUAUCAUUUAUUUUUAGCAGCAGAAUACUUGAUCUUGAUAACGGUUCUUUCUUAAUUUCCAUCAACUUUCCUUGAAGGAUACCUUUUUGUUAAUAGCGAAACCUCUGAUCCUUAAGAUGGAAAAAGAAAUUCUCUAUUUAGAUAUCAGUUGGUUCAAGAUCAAUAUCGCGAUGUUGUUUGCAGUCUUUUCUUUCUCUGUCUUUCCCUUUAGUUCAUUUUAAUUUAUUUGUAUUCCUUUCUUUGACAUAUUAUUAGAUUUGUUAAGUAGCAGGCAAUGGCAGAAGUGGGUCUGGCUGCUUUUUCCAGCGUUGUAUCAGAAGGUGCAAAGUCACUGUUCAAACCGAUUAUACGGCAGAUAUCUUAUGUGUUCAAGUACCAGAGCUACAUAGAUGGCCUAAAAGAUCAAGUGAAGCAGCUGGGAUAUAGAAGAGAAACGGUGCAACAACCUGUUAAUCAUGCUAGACUACAAGGGGAUGAGAUUUAUGAGGGUGUCACAGACUGGCUAAAUCAAGUUGAUGAAUUCAGUGAAGGGGUUGCAAAAUCCAUCAUUGAUGAUGAAGAUAGAGCUAAGAAGUCCUGCUUCAGAGGAUUGUGCCCAAACUUGAUUUCUCGUUACAAGCUUAGUAAACAAGCAGCAAAGGCCGCAGAAGCUGCCGCUAGUCUCGUGGGAAAAGGAAACUUCUCUAAUGUUUCCUACCGUCCUGCUCCAGAGAGUACAGAACAAAUGGAAGUGAAAGAUUACGAGGCCUUUGAUUCAAGAAUGAAAGUAUUUCAAGAUGUUGUGGAGGCGUUGAAGGAUGAUAAGCUCAACAUAAUUGGGGUCUACGGCAUGGGCGGCGUGGGUAAAACCACGCUAGUCAAGCAAGUUGCAAGGCAAGUGAUGGAAGAAAAGUUGUUCGAUAAGGUCGUUAUGGCUGAGGUAACACAGACCCCAGAUCAUCAGGAAAUUCAAAAGAAACUUGCUUCUGAUUUAGGCAUAAAGUUUGAGUUGAAUGAGAGUAUAUUCGACCGAGCGGAUCGAUUGCGUGAAAGAUUGAAGAAAGAGAAGCGGGUCCUCAUUAUAUUGGAUAAUAUUUGGAAAAAACUCGAGUUCGAAAAAGUUGGAAUUCCUUCCAGGGAUGUUGAUGAUAAAGAUAAAAAGGAUGAUCAGAGACGAUGCACAAUAACAUUGACGUCUAGAAGUCGAGAUUUAUUGUGCAUUGAUAUGAAUUCUCAGAAAAAUUUCUCGAUCGAUGCUUUGCCACGAAAAGAAGCAUUGCAGUUAUUUGAGGAGAUAGUGGGUGAUUCAACUAAAAUAUCUGCUUUUCAAAGUAUAGCAAAUGAGAUCGUUGAAAGAUGCGGAGGUUUGCCUGUUGCACUGAGUACAGUUGCAAAUGCUCUGAAAACUAAGGAGCGUGACUUUUGGAAAGAUGCAUUGAAUCAGCUAAGAAGAUCGGAUGCAAGAGAAAUUCAUGGCAUGCAAGCAAAUGUGUACACCUCCAUAAAAUUGAGUUAUGACUUCUUGGAAAGUGAGGAGGCAAAAUCUCUGUUCCGUCUUUGUGGUCUAUACAGUGAAGGUAAUGUCAUACAAGUUUCUGACUUAUUGAGAUAUGGUGUGGGUUGGGAUUUGUUUGAAAAUGUUUACACAUUGGAAGAAGCAAGGAGUAGGGUGCAUCGGUUGAUCGACAAUCUCAAAUCUUCAUGCUUAUUGUUGGACGGAGAUGCUGAAGAUGAAGUUAAAAUGCAUGACGUCAUUCAUGUUGUUGCCGUAUCAAUUGCCGCAGAGAAGCGCAUGUUUAAUAUUCCAAAUGUUGCCGACUUGGAGAAAAAGAUGGAAGAGACAAUACGGAAAGAUCCAAUUGCCAUUUCUUUACCUUAUAGAGGUGAUCAAGUGCUUCCCCAAAGAAUGCGAUGUCCCCGUCUUGGGCUAUUUUUGUUGCAUAGGAAGGGUCUUUGCUCUAUGCAAGUUUCAGACCACAUUUUUGAAGGGACGGAAGGACUCAAAGUUUUGGAUCUUGCCAGAAUUCACUUCUCUUCAUUACCUUCAUCACUUGGGUGCCUCAUUAACCUUCAAACAUUGUGUUUAGACUAUUGCCGACUAAAAGAUAUAGCAAUAGUUGGACAGCUAAAGAAAUUAGAGAUUCUCAGCCUUGUAUAUUCCGAUAUCAAGCAGUUACCACUCGAAAUUGGACGAUUGACGCGGUUACAGUUGCUAGAUUUGAGCAAUUGUCGGAGCCUUGAGUUGAUACCACCAAAUGUCAUAUCAAAAUUAUCUCGAUUAGAAGAACUGUUUAUGCAUAACAGCUUUUCACAGUGGGAUAAGGUUGAAGGAGGAAGUAAUGCCAGUCUUGUCGAGUUGAAAGCGUUGACAAAGCUAACUACUUUGGAGAUAGAAGUUCCGGAUGCCGAAAUUCUGCCGCCGGAUUUUGUCUCCGUGGAAUUGGAAAGAUAUAAGAUAUUUAUAGGAAAAAUGUCUGUCCGACGGCUCGUCGAAUCUAAAACAUCAACAUUGAUGGUGCUCAAGGGGCCAGAAAGAGUUAGCCUUCUUUUGGGGAAUGAUGGGACGAAAAUGUUGCUGAAGAGAACUGAAGAUCUCCGUCUAUACUCACAGAAGGGUGUUCAGAAUAUUGUUCAUGAAUUAGACAAUGGGGAAGGUUUUCCACGAUUGCAGCAUCUUCUAGUAACAGACUGUUCUGAGAUUUUACAUAUUGUCGGUUCAGUUGGACGGGUUCGUUGCAAAGUCUUUCCCUUGCUGGAGUCAUUGGAUCUUAUUGAUUUAACUAAUUUGGAGACGAUAUGCUGCAGCCAACUCAGAGAAGAUCAAUCUUUCAGCAACUUAAGGAUUAUAAACGUAGAUUCCUGUCCAAAAUUGAAGUAUCUCUUCUCAUUCUCUAUGGCUAAAAACCUAUUGGGGCUUCAAAAAGUAAAAGUGAGAAAUUGCGAUGAAUUGGAAAUGAUGAUUGGUAAGUGUUUAAAUUAAUUAUUGGUAGGAUUAUUGACAUUGACUCAUUCUUUUUUUCUUUUUCUUUUUUUUUUGGGUGAAAAAACAACGGAUGUUUAUUAUAUAUUGUUUUUGUUCAUUUAUAGGGCCCGACAUGGAGAAACCAACAACUACUGAGGGACUCACAGAAAUCAUUGCAGAGGAUGAUCCUAUUCACAAGGUGAUAAUUUUCUGUUUAAUAAUUAAUUAAUUAAUAUUUUAUCGCGAUUGAUCUUCAAUCAUCAAAAGAAUAUUAUAUUAGAAGUUGUAGUUGAAGGAACAAAAAUGUACGGUUUUGCUGUGCAGGUUACUUUUCUACGCUUAGAGGAACUGAAACUUGACGGUUUAAAAAACAUCAAAAAAUUAUGGCCCGAUCAAUUUCAGGGAAUGUAUUGUUGUCAAAAUUUAACAAAAGUGACCGUGGAAAGGUGUUAUCGUCUGAAGUAUAUGUUUUCAUAUUCUAUGGUUAAUAGUCUUUUGCAACUCCAACAUCUUGAGAUUAUUAAUUGUUGGUCAAUGGAAGGGGUAGUCAACAACACCGCGGGGGGGUUAGGAGGAAGAGAUGAAUUAAAGGUUUUUCCUAAACUACACUCCCUGCGGCUCCAUUGCCUUCCAAAACUAUGUAGCUUCACCUCACCAGAAGACGUCAUUCACACUGAAAUGCAACCUCAAUCUUUCUUUAAUGAAAAGGUUUUUUUUUUUUUUUUUAAAUUAAUUUUAUUUUCAAUAGUUAAUUUCUUCUUUCGUUGAGUCUUCAAAUUUAAUUAAUAUCCAUCUCUAAUUGCAUUGAAUUUUUAACUUCAGGUACGACUCCCAAGUCUGGAGGUAUUACAUAUUAGUGAGGCGGAUAAGUUGAGAAAAAUAUGGCACCACCAGCUUGCUUCGAAGUCUUUUAGCAAAUUGAAAAAAUUGGAGAUAUCUUGGUGUAAUAAUCUAUUGAAUAUUUUUUCUCCAUUGGUAAGAUUGCUAUAUUCAUUUUGAAUUUUUAUUUCAAAUAACAUUCAACAAUUAUUUUAAUCAUUUUUGUGUUUACAAAUAAUUUUCAUUCACAAAUUAUUUAUUGCAAGUAUUGUACUUCAAACUUCUGGAGGGAAAAAAAGUAGUGUACUUCAAAUCACCAUUCUGAACUCUGCAUUUUCAAUCUAAUUUAUAGGUUCACCUGCAUUAAAGUCAACAAUAUAAUUGUUUUAAACACGAUUUAACAGCAUAAUAUAAUUCAAUUUAAUUUUUUUUUCUUAAAUCGUAAUAAAUAAGAUUUUCAGAAAUUAAAAGAUACUUAGUUACUCAGCUUUUAAGUUCACAAAUUCAUAUAUAUUUCUCUUGUCCUUGGGUCUUUAGAUUUCGAUUUUAAAAAAAAUAAAGAAAAGUGUUCAAAUGUAGUUAGUAUCUCUAGUUUAGUUAUGAAUUGAUUACGCCAUUGAUUAAGCACAAAUUCAUGAUGGUCAUUUUGAAUCGACCGUUGAUUAAAAAAAUUCCUCAAAUAUUCACUCUAUAACAAUCCCAUGUUGAUGGCGUUGGGAAGUGUUUUCCAGAAAUGUUUUCCAUUUUUAAAAGCAUGAAUAUCGGGAAAAAAAAAAAAAAAGAGAAAUACAACGUUUUAGUUUAGUUAUUUUAAAAAUAGGCAUGUUUGAAAAUUAAAAAUUUUUAAAAACUAGCAUCAAGAUGAAAAAUGAAUUUAUAAUAUUUAAAAAUUACCUGAAAUUCUUUCUCCGUUCCUAAUACUAAAUAGUGUAAAUGCAUUUUCAUUAUCUUUGUUUUUCUGGACUUCUAUUUAUUUAUUUAUUUUUGUUUUAAUUUUUUCCUUUUUUUCUUUAACAAAAAAUAUCUAGUAGACAUUCAUGAUUUGUUAUUUUUCAUAAAACAAUUGUAUGAUUUUGACAUACUUUGAAUCUAGUUGAAUGCUACUCUUUAUUUUAAGGUUGGAAUUCCUAGUAGCCUGGUGAAUCUUGAUGUAUCAUACUGUGAAAAAAUAGAAGAAAUCAUAGGACAUGUUGGAGAAGAAGCGAAGGAGAAUCGUAUUGCUUUCAACGAAUUAAAACUUUUGGUACUUGAUCAUUUACCAAGGCUUACCAGCUUUUGUUUGGAGGAUUACACUCUUGAAUUCCCAUCAUUGGAACGAGUUUCUAUGACAUGUUACCCGAACAUGAAGACUUUUUCUCAGGGAAUCGUAUCCACACCAAAGCUGCACGAAGUGCAGGUGAGUAAAAAGGAAGUAUUAAGUUUUAUAUGAAACUGUGAUGUUGUUUGGUUACUAAGAAAAUAGGAAGAAAGAAAACUUCUGUAAGCUGAGAAUUCUGUUAUUAUUGAUCUAAUGAAUCUGGAAAUUACAAGCCUUUUUAUAUGUGCAUAGAAGAUUCUACACACAUUGCACACACGCACAGUUUACUACUAACAACCUCUAUAACAACCUUUAGCUGACUCAGCUGCCAUGUCAGCAUACUCAUUAACUAACUAAUUCUAUUCUUAACAGGAAGAGGGUGAAUUGCGCCGUUGGGAAGGCAACCUUAAUUCCACUAUACAAAAGUGUUACGAAGAAAUGGUAUGUGUUAAAUCGAUUCGUCGAAAUUACUUAUGCAUCUCCCUUGCACUUGCACAUUUGAACAUAUAAGUUUAAUGUAUAUAUAUAUCUAAUGCCUUUCAAGAAAAAAAUUUAUAUAUAUCCAGUGCAAUUGUUUUGGUUUGUGCAGAUUGGAUUUCGUGACAUACAGGAUUUGCAACUCUCACAUUUUCCACGUUUGAAAGAAAUAUGGCAUGGCCAAGCACUGCCUGUCAGCUUCUUCAACAAUUUAGUACGACUGGUGGUGGAUGACUGCACGAAUAUGUCGAGUGCUAUUCCUGCCAAUCUGCUACGGUGCUUGAACAAUUUGGAAUACCUGGCAGUGACGAAUUGUGAUUCACUAGAAGAGGUGCUUCAUUUGGAAGAGCUAAAUGCUGACAAAGAACAUAUAGGUCCCCUGUUUCCUAGGCUUUACAGUCUAAGGCUCACUGAUCUUCCAAAACUCAAAAGAUUCUGCAACUUCAUUGGGAAUAUAAUUGAAAUGCCUGAGUUGGAGAAUCUAACUAUUGAGAAUUGCCCUGAUAUGGAAACAUUCAUAUCCAACUCUGUAGUGCACGUGACAAUAGAUAACAAGGAACCUCAAAAAUUAACAUCAGAAGAGAACUUCUUGCUGGCUCAUCAAGUACAACCUCUCUUCGAUGAAAAG